RNAcentral lists this long non-coding RNA (48680 nucleotides) under Sorghum bicolor (sorghum). RNAcentral describes it as "long non-coding RNA (SBIC_LNC010361)". Lineage: Eukaryota; Viridiplantae; Streptophyta; Magnoliopsida; Poales; Poaceae. The record is from RNAcentral.
GGCCCGCUCGGCCUCCCGUUCGUUCCCCUGGCUUCUGGAGUCUUCUAGAUGAUAGAAAAUUGGUGCACACGUUAAUAUCUCUAUGUAAACUCGACGUGUGGGCACUUUCCUCCAUAUUUCCUCAUAACCCCCUACAGAAAUAGACAAACACCAAAACUCGUGGAAUUCUAUUAGAUGAAACGCUAAUUUUGGAUGUUGGUUGCAUAUAGCUCCUUUUCCAAGAUUGGUUGACGGUUAAAUGUGAGCAUUAAGGACCGUCAACAAGCUCCCCCAAGCUUAACCUUUGCUUGUCCCUGAGCAAAGCUAAAAUCAGCAAGAAGACAGGGGUUACUUUUAUGCCUCUUACUACAGAGACCUUAAGUUAUCACUAAGGUCCUAAGUGAUUGAAAAACAGAACGAUCAAGUCAAGCACUAUGUCUCUAGUUCUUCUGUCUUACCUUUGUUCUGGAGUUUUUUUUGUAAGUUUCCAAAAUAAAACUAAGGCAUUUGGCUUCUUCUCGAAAGAUAUAUAAGUAGAGCUUUAAAAGUUUUAGCAUACUUACUUUGCAUUUUGCUAUGUCAAUGCUCGGAGCAAGGGAGAGGAAUGUCAUACUCCUAGAUCAAGACCUUUGACCUUUUUGAAAAGUUUGUCAUCUCUUACUGGCAUAUUGCUUAUUAGAGGGACCAUGGGCUAUCAUUUUUUUCUUUCUUUUUUAGUCUCUCUCUCUUUUUUUUAUGAAGUGGGCACCAAGUACCCCUAAUUCUACUGUCGGACAUGUGUCCAUUUUUUCCACUCAGGUGGGUAUCUUUGUACCCCUAAUUCUACUUCGGACACUUGUCCAUUUUUACCUCUCGUCUCACUCUUUUUUUUGAAUCAAAUUUUUGCAUAGUCCUAUGCCUCUAACGCAAUAAUACUUCAAAAGAGUGAAUCUUUUAUAUUUUUAAAAAGACCUUGAUCUUUGGAGCAUGAUAAUUCUCUCAACCGAAACUACAAGAAUUAACAAUGGCUUGAACAAAGCAAGUGCCCACAGUUUUAAUAUUUAUAUCUUAUAAGACUCUAGGUAUUAUGUCAAACGGGAUCUCAUUCCUUUUUUUCGAAUUUUAGAUUUUCAAAAGAUAAAAUCUCCAGAACUCUAGCAAAACUUGGAACAAGUUAAAUAGUAGCUCAGACCUUCUCAUAUCAUGUUUGUCAAUUACCUAUACUUGGAUCAAACUUUCUUUUUAUUUUAUUAAAAACUUAGGAUUACACAAAACUAUUGUAUAUUACUCAAAAUAAAAACUUUGUUUUGGUUUCAUGGUUAUGCAUUAUUUAUUUAUUUAUUUUUGAAUACUAGUAAAUAAAACCAAGAAAGAAAAGUAAUACUUAUCUAGAUAUAAGUGGGGGUGCCUCCCCCAAACUGGAUGCUUGUGGCCUGCAUGUUCGGUCUCACUCUUCUUAAAGCUCAAAAUCCUGCACAACCCAAAUAGACAACAAAACUCAUGGAGCAUGUUAAGGUUUAGGUAAUUGUCUAGAGCUUAUGAGAGCUUAAUGUGAGAAUUCUACAAACUCAAUUACAUCAAGUUCCUCUGCCAGGUUGUUUUGUGGCUCGAGAUAGAUUUUCAAGCGUUGACCAUUUACCUUAAAAGUGUUACCUAUGUUGUCUUGGAUGGUAAUGGCUCCAUGAGUUGAAGUGUCAAUAACCUUGUAUGGUUCAUCCCACUUACUUCGUAGCUUACCAUGCCCAAAGAGCUUAACUCUUGAAUUGAAUAGUAGAACCUUAUCUCCAGGCUUAAACCCCUUGUUCUCGAUUCUUUUAUCAUGCCAUCAUUUUGUUCUCUCUUUAUAGAUCCUUGAAUUGUGGUAGGCUUUCUCUCUCCAUUCUUCUAGCUCAGAUAGUUGCAUCAGACGAUUCUCGCUAGCGAGGUGGAGAUCCAUGUUCCAUUUCUUGAGUGCCCAAUGAGCCUUAAACUCUACUUCCACAGGCAAAUGACAAGUUUUUCCAUAUACAAGUUGAUAAGGUGACAUGCCUAUGGGUGUUUUGAAUGCAGUUCUAUAUGCCCAAAGUGCAUCAGGAAGUUUGUCCUUCCACCCCUUACCCAUCUCAUCUACGGUCUUUUGUAAAAUAUUUUUGAUUUGUUUGUUAGAUGUUUCGGCUUGACCGCUAGUCUGAGGAUGGUAUGGUGUUGCGACGUUGUGUCGAACUCCAUGAUCGGCUAGGUAUUUCCGGAAGAUUUUGUCGAUGAAGUGGGAACCUCCAUCGCUUAUAACUAUCCGGGGUAUACCAAAGCGAGGAAAGAUUACUUCAUGGAACAUUCUCUUGGCAUGUUUUGAAUCAGCUGAUCGACAAGGUAGGGCUUCUACCCAUUUGGACACGUAGUCCACAACUACUAAGAUAUACUCGCAAUUCCCGGACAUAGGGAAUGGCACCAUGACCCCAUACACCGAAAACUUCUACUUGAAGAUUAUUUGUGAGAGGCAUUUCAUUUCGUGAGUUGAUAUUCCCAUGUUUUUGAGAUCGGUGACAUCUCCUGACAAAGUCCUUUGUAUCUUCAUACAUCGUUGGCCAGAAAAACCAACUUUACCAAAUUUUAGCAUGUGUCCAGAAUUCUCCAUAGUGUCCUCCAUAUGGCGAGGCAUGGCAUCUUUCCAUAAUUUGAGUAGCCUCAGCCAUAGGAACACACCUUCUCAAGAGUCCAUCAGCGCAGACUCGAAAAAGAUAUGGCUCAUCCCAAAGGUGGAAACGACUAUCGUGAAGCAACUUCCUUUUGUUUGUACCAGGUGGGACAUAGCCUUUUUCUAUAAAGUUUACGAUGUCAGCGUACCAUGGAUCUGCAUGUGUUACCUUAAGCAGGGUGUCAUCCCUUAGGUAGUCAUUUAUGGGAAGCUCAUCAUGUGUUUCCUUAUAUUGAAGCCUAGACAAGUGGUCAGCUACGAAAUUCUCUACUCCCUUCCUAUCACGGAUUUCUAUGUCAAAGUCUUGGAGUAGAAGAAUCCAUCGAAUUAGACAAGGCUUAGCAUCUUUCUUAGUGAGGAGGUACUUGAGAGCAGCACGGUCUGAAUAGAUUAUUAUCUUUGCCCCCACUAAGUAAGACCAAAACUUGUCUAUAGCAAAUACAACAGCCAAAAGCUCUUUUUCAGUUGUAGUGUAAUUGAGCUGUUGUCCAGACAAGGUUUUGCUAGCGUAGGAUAUGACAUAAUGCUUUUUAUCCUUGGUUUGUCCUAAAACGGCACCAACCGCAAAAUCGCUAGCAUCACACAUGAUCUCCAAAGGAAGAUUCCAAUCAGGUGGCUGGAUAAUCGGGGCUGAGAUGAGUGCUUUCUUAAGAGUUUGAAAAGAUUCAUGACACUCAUUACUAAAGAUAAAAGGUGCAUCCUUAGCUAGGAGACUAGUUAGGGGUCUAGCAAUUUGAGAGACUUGAUAAAGCGUCUAUAGAACCCUGCAUGCCCCCAAAAAGCUACGGAUUCCUUUCACAUUCGUGGGAGGUGGAAGUUUUUCAAUAACUUCAAUCUUUGCUUUGUCCACCUCUAUACCAUGUUCGGACACUUUAUGUCCUAGCACUAUUCCUUCCUGAACCAUAAAAUGGCAUUUCUCCCAGUUUAGGAUUAAGUGCUUUUCUUCACAUCGCUGCAAGUCUCUAUCUAAAUUCUCCAAACAAUGAUCGAAGGUUUUGCCAUAGACGGAAAAAUCAUCCAUGAAAACCUCCAUGAUCUUCUCAAUCAUGUCCAAGAAAAUAGACAUCAUGCACCGUUGGAAAGAAGCUGGAGCAUUGCACAAUCCGAACGACAUUCGUCGGUAUGCAUAAGUUCCAUACAGGCAUGUAAAGGUAGUCUUUUCUUGGUCAUCUGGGUGGAUUGAGAUUUGGUGAUAUCUAGAAUAACCAUCAAGGAAACAGAAGAAAGAGUGGUUUGCAAGCCGUUCCAACAUUUGAUCAAUGAAGGGUAACGGAAAGUGAUCAUUCUUUGUAGCCUUGUUGAGUUUUCGAUAGUCAAUACACAUACGCCACCCAGUGACAAUUCGUUAAGGGAUGAGUUCAUUCUUCUCAUUCCUAAUGACUGCCAUUCCUCCUUUCUUUGGCACUACUUGGACAGGGCUAACCCACUCACUAUGUGGCACAGGAUAAAUAAUCCUAGCAUGAUAGAGUUUGAGGACCUCUUUCUUAACAACCUCUCGCAUAGCAUUGUUAAGUCUUCGUUGUGGUUCCCUUGAAGGUGUAAAAUUGGGAACAAUAGGGAUACGAUGAGUGCAGAGAAUGGGACUAAUGCCCGUGAGAUCUUCGAGAGCUUAGCCAAAUGCUAAUCUAUGCCGUUCAAGAACAGUGACAAGUUGUUGUGUUUCAUAAUCGGAAAGCUUGUCACUGAUAAUUACUGGAGUUUUUGGGUUGUUGUGCAAAAAAACAUAUUGAAGGCCAGAAGGAAGAGGUUUUAACUCUAUCGAAGGAGGUGAAGGUUGUUCAUUUUUGUCUAGCUCAAUGGGUUCUACCAACUCUUCUUCUUCUUGAACAAAGUGUUCAUGAUUAAAGAAUGGUUGGGCCAUCUCCUUUUGAGUCAGCAUUAAGAUCUCCUCAAUAGGAUCUGAUUCAAGUUUGGGUUCCACUAUCGUGUUAAUUGAUAUAGCAAGAGGAACAACAAUAGUGGAAUUCCCAACCUUCAAGUCUAAAUGACCUCGUUGUGGUUGUUCUUGUAGAAGUUUCAUGAUUGGUCUGCCAAUCAAGAGAGGAAUCUCCGGUAUGUCAAAAAUGUGAAAAUCUAGACAUAUUCCAGAGUCCUUGAUUCUAAUAGGUACUGCCCUUAAUACCCCAUGGCUUUCUAGAAUUAAUCCAGAUGGACUUUGUAAAAGUUUUUGAGAUGGGUGUUGACGGUCCUUAAUGCUCACAUUUAACUGUCAACUAAUCAUGGAAAAGGAUCUAAAUGGAACCAACAAGCUUUCUGGCGCCGUUGCCGGGGAACGGUAGCUGUGCUAGUUUCGAACCAAGUCGUCCGUGUAUCCCUUUUCUUUUCCUUUUUUACCACACUCACCUUAUCACUUUCACCAUACCACAUGGAUUUCACUCUAAGCAUUAAUGAGCAUGGAAUUUAUUUCAUAGCCACUUCACUUACUCCAUGCUCAUAUGCAACAUCUUCACAAUCCAUUGGUCUCUCCAACAUCACCACAUUCGAGAUCUCCAACCCCCUCUUCCUUUCUAUUCAUAAAAACUUUAAAAGGGUGGUUGUCGAUGCAUAUGUCUAUAAUAAAUUUUGCAGAUCUCGUUGAGUUGAUCUUGAUAUAGGUCAGCGUUGGAGGGGAAACUGUUGAUAUUUGGUAACGCAAUAAGGAAAUGAUCGGCAAGCGCACGGAUAUCGGUGAGCAUUUCACCCGGGAGGUUAUCCAGAGUUAUCGUAUUUAUAUUUUUACUACUAGGAGAAAGGGUGCAUCUGACUAACCAAAUCUAUUGCUAUUACCCCUUUAGGCUACAAAGAAUGUUUCUCGAUGUGAGUGAUGUAUAGAGAAGACUGCAAUCGUAGUCUCGUUCUAACCUUGGUAAGGAUGAUCUACUGUUCUAUUGGGGAGGCUCACGGAAUCUAGACAACACAAAGGAUGUUCGACCCGCACCUAUAAACCUACCCGCCCUGCUAACGAGAUACGGUCUGCAAAGGUAACUCGGAAAUGUCACGUUCCUCGCUACUACCACGGUCCAGCUAGUCAGGGGAUAUCUAUGAGUACCCUAGCCUAAACACCACGUUUACGCUAGCAAGUGAUUACUCUAAUACUCAACCGGAAGAGGAUUAAAGUAAACUCAUAAACCAAAGAACAAUAAAACAAGAACUUACUAGUAAUUAGAAGUCGAAUUACUGAAGAAUCUUAGAAGCAAGCCUCGGGUUAGGAGACUUGAUCCCGCAAGUACAACUCGGAGUAGACACUGACAGGCCGGCCUUCCUCCGAUCUACACCUCCACUCUAUCUCUCUCAAUCUAGUAGAAACUAGAAGAUCUAUUUCUACUUACAUUGGUUGCUAAGCCUAAAAAGAAAUAUUAUUUAGAGAAGAGGUUUUCCUUCGAGGGCACCCCUCAAUCUCUAUGAUAAUUUCUUGUCUCCUCCAGGGGCCAGGGGGGUCUCCUUAUAUAGUCCUCAUCCUCUAUGCGUUUUUGGGUCGGUAGGCGAGGUGGUACUACAUUAUCUUUGAUCUAUUAGGUCGGUGGAACGUCGUGUGCGAAGAGAGUCCCGAACGGAGUCCAAAGGAGGGCGGGCGCCUAGGUCCUCAGGGCGGGCGCCCUGGGCCUGGCCCCUUUCGGCCUCCGCUUCCUUCCCGUGGCUUCUGGAGUCUUCUAGAUGGUAGAAAAUUGCGCGGUGCGUUGAUAUCUUUAUGUAAUCCUGACAUGUGGGCCUUUCUUACUUAUUUCCUGAUAACCCCCUGCAGAAAUAGACAAACACCAAAACUCGUGGAACUCUGUCAGAUAAAACCCUAAUUCUAGGUGUUGAUUUCAUUUGGAUCCAUUUCUUUGUUUAUUUGAUAAUUAAAUUUGGUACUUAAGGACCGUCAACAACUCCCCCAAGCUUACCUCUUGCUCGUCCCUGAGCAAGGAUGAACUCAAGAGUUUCUGCAGUGGUUUCAUGCCUUAAAGGUACACACGCAUUCAAGCAAGAUCUCAUCUCUGAGUUAGAAUAAACUGUUAAGACUUAAAACUUACUCAUUUUACCUUUCACCAUGGGGCUUGUAACCGUCACUUGUGUCUUGAGCAGUUAAAAGAUAGAACGGUCAAGUCAAGAGCCAUGUCUCUUAUUCUUGAUCAGCUAUAGCUUUAGAGUUUUUGUAGAUUUUCAAAUAAAACUCAGAGAUUCCUUAUAUGACUCUCUCAAAUCUCUCUUUUUGUGGUAUUUCUGGAUCCUUACCAAGGCAGUAAUUGUAUAUGCCUUCUCUCAAAGUAUGUGGUAUUUUUGGUAUGAGGCAUAGUGAUAUUAUCUUCUCUCUCACCCUACUCUAAUAAGGUUCUGAUAUCUGGAGCUCAUAGGUGAGAGACAGCUAAUACAUACUUACAAGACAUUUAUUGCAUAGUCAAACCAUGGAUCCAGAGAAACAAGUCAAUAAGUCAAAUCAAGAUGUGCAUGUGUGCCGAAUGAAUGAUGUAUGGUGAUGAUGGUGAUAAUAAUGGUGAAAGUCUAAUUAUACUUUUGCUCUUUUUAAGGGGAUACAUACCUUUCUUGCACUUUGAAGCUUUUUGAGGGGAAUGAGAUGCUCUAUAUUUUCUCUUUUUUUUCUUUUCUCUCAGGUGGGUAUCUUGUACCCCUAAUUCUACUGUCGGACACUUGUCCAUUUUUACCUCUCGUCUCACUUUUUCUUUUCUUUCGAGGUUCCGGGCACUUGCCCCUUUUUAUUUCCUCGUAUUAUUUUUUUUUCUUCCUCUUUUUUUUAGAGCACUCAUCUCCUUAAAUAAUAUAGCAAGUGGUAGUAACCAACAUAACUCGAGCAUUUAUUUCACAGGGAAUAACAGGGAUAGGAUAAUGUUUUUGGCUAUUCUCUCCCAGAUUAGGAGUAGAAUAAUUUUGGGUAAUCUGGAGAUGGAAAUGAGUGGAUAUAUGUGGAUGGUACUUCCGGAGUAGAAGUAGCAUGUAUGAGUGAACGUGCAAGUGAAUCUUGAUUUUAACCACAUGACAAGCUCCUAAGGGUCUACAUAGCUUGACCACACUCAAUGCUCAUAAGCAGUAAAAAAUAUGUGGCUCAAAGUCUAGCAAGCAUGUAUAUAUGGCUGUGGUAGGAAUUUAAACUCUCAUCAUACAGGAACUCAUCAUGUGUUAUUUUAAAGAUUUUUUCAAAGAUAAAAUUCUCUAGAAUUCUAGCAUCUCUAGGAACAGAUAAACAGCAGCUCAACCUUCCCAUAUCAUAUCCGUUAACAACUUAGACUUUUGAUCAGGUACUCCUCCCACAAGUUUAGUUUAGAGCAAAUCUUACUUCAUAACAGUCAUGCCUAAACUUGAGAGAGAUUUCAGUUUUAAGAACUAGUCAUGGCAGAGCAACUAUUCAUCAUUUCCAUGUGAGAGCUUAUCAUGAGGGUUCAUAGCAAACUUUAUUUAUUUAUUUAUUUAGCAAACUAAGAAAAUAUAUAUAUAUAAAAGCACAAAAUCUUUAUUUGGGUUUUCAUGAUUAUGCAUCUUUUAUUAUUUGAGUAAAGUAUAAACGCAAGUAGAAACACUUAGCUGGAUAAAUGGGGGUGCUCUCCCCCAAGCUGGAUUUUGACGUAAUUUCUUCUGAUGUAGCUAGCAGGUGGCAGAGGUGUAUUUGAAAGUCAGCAGCAUUUUGACAGCGAUUAGAAUGUCCUCCGUCUGCUAGUCUUCUUGAUUCCUAAAUUCUGUAGAGCUCAAAUAGACAAUAAAGCUUUGUGGAACUGGGUAAGUGUUAGCACAAAUAUCUAGCCUUUAUCAUGUUGAGCCUCCUCAAUAAAUAUUACUUAUUUAGCAGGAUCAUGCACUUAUUAUUUUUAUAUUUUUAUUGUAAGAUGAAAACAUAUUUAUUUUAUGCCACCAGUGAAUGUACCUAUGGGUUCUAUGCCAUGAGCAUACUUACAUGGGGCUUACUAUUUUUUUAACAUUUUUAUUUUCUUUUCAAGAUAGCAUGAACCUGAUUAACUAAGCAAACUAUAAUUGAAUAAUUGAAAGGAAAAGGAUAACUACCAAGUUUACCUCUUGGCAAGGCGUUCGGUGUUUUUAAGUCCUCCGAACGGGACUCUUCGUUUUCUCAGUCGUCCUGGGAUUCGUUAGGUGGCGUAGUCGGUUAUUCCGGCGGCGCCUCCUCUUCGUGUAUAACUAUCUUCUCCCUCCACACCUGACUCGGUGCUACGGUCUCCUCAGGGCAGUUCUGUUUAAGCCGUAUGUCUUCAGACCUUAUCACUUCUCCUUCGUAGUCUGCCCAUCCGUCCUUGAUGAUUUGCCUCCUCUGGUUGCGGUUGUGUCGUCUUCUUCUUGUCCUGACUUGUUUAGAGUCUUCAACUAUAUAGUUAAGGUCAGUAAAAUAGCGGCGUACCUUCUCAGAGGGGAAGUGCAUGUGGACUUCUCUGGUUCCAAUAUAGAUGAUGGCUUUGAUAGUGUUGAGGAACGGUCUUCCAAGGAUGAUGGGUGGAUCGUACUCGUCUUCUCCCAUGUCAAUGAUCUGAAAAUCAUCUGGAGCUGAAUAUAUAUUGGUUGUAGGGGCAUGGUUCCAUGCUGGAGCUGAUAAGUGACUGCGGCCAUUAUGUUGUCGUUAGAUCCGGUGUCGUAGAGUGUCUUCUGAAAAGAGUAUCCAUUGAUUGUGCACUCAAUGAUUGGAAUACCAGGGUCGUCCUUCUUGAUCUUGAGUCGACGAUCUUGACCUCCUCCGACAAGGAUCCAAUGUUUUAAGUCCUCUGGACAAGACUUCUCACCGUCUUCAUCCUUUAGGUGCAUCAUUUGAUUAGGUGUGGACCUUGACGUCUGCACCUCUUGAUACAGUGUCACCCAUGUUCUUCGAUUGCCCAGCAGUUCGAAGUGCGGUGUUGGCAAUAUCCUGCUCAGUGUGUUUGUGCUCAUAGAUCCAGGUCCUUCACUUGGUGGAGCCUAGGAGUUGUAAAACUCCUCGAUGUUUUGCUUGAAGUGUACCUGUUCAUAGAGACAAGGCAGAGAUCAAGUGCAUGGGCCCUGUUGGUGGAAAACACCAACAGAACUAAAAGUGUAUUUGUUCUUCUCUAACCUUAAGCAUAGUGAGCAAGACAAAGUUGAUGGAUCAUGAGUGUAGCAUUUAAAACAUUUGUUAGAUCAGAUGGCUCAACCUAAUGGAAAGAUAAUCUAUCUAUAUUUAUGUUUUGUUUAUAUCUUCCAAAGAUUGAAUGUUGAAUUAAUUGAGUUGGUUAAUCUGGAGUUAUAAAUCAUACAUAUUUGUCUCUUUAUUUAUGUGAAUGCUAGAACCAAGGAGAAGCUUAUAAAAGCGAUAGUUAAGUACCUUAAGGUGUUACUUUACUUAAAGAGUGAUGGUAUAGUAUCUCCUUGUGGAAGCUUUCCUUUCUUAGCGGUUGUGCAUCGUGUUGGUGGCACCCUCCAUAGAUCAUCUCUUUUGAGCUACGUCUUUCUUGUGCAAAUUGUUAAACUUCAUGUGUCACUUUCUUCAUCUCCAAUGUGAGUUUAUCUCAGGACUUCCCAGGUUGAUAUUGAAAGUUUUCCUGUAGGGGUUAGUCCGACAAAAUAUACCAAUGUCUACUCAAGCAUACUACCGGCUCAAAAAUCAACCUAGACACCAUGUCUAAUUUGAUUUAGAAGGGCAUUUUAACCUAAGCACCAUGCUUAAUUUAAAAUCCCUUGGAAGUAAGAUCAUCAUUCCUAAACUAAGCACCAUGCUUAAUUAAGAGAUAAAUGAAACUAUUCCAAACCUAGAAAUAUACUAAAGCAAAUCAAGGUAGCAUGAGAGCAUUUAUAGAGAUCUACUUAAGUGGAGAUGAAGUAGUGUAAUUAGUAUUUAACAAAUUGAGCAUGUCUCAAAGGUAAGGACAACCAACGUAGCAACAUGGCAAAAGAUGUUUUUAUGUAAAGUACUCCCCCAAGCUUGAAUUUUGCAAAAUUCAAGUUUGGAUGAAUUUAAUUCAAUGUUGUGUGAUGGUUGGUUGGACAUACCUUGUACUUGUCAUUCAUCCCAUCUUCUUGCUCCAAUCCUGGAAAGGUUAGUGGCAAGAAUACCCGAAGGAAUAUUUCUACAAUUAUCUUUAUAUGCUCAAGACACAAGGCAAUGUUGCAAAAAAUUAGAAGUUCAUGUCACAAUCUGAUAGGUGCUUGUUUUAGGACACUAAGCUUGUCCUUAGGAAACCAUCAAGCACUGUUCAGAUUGUAACACUGACAUAAAUUGAUAGUUUCCAAAGGACAAGCUUUGUGUCCUAAUACAAGCACUGAUCAGAUUGUCACAUNNNNNNNNNNNNNNNNNNNNNNNNNNNNNNNNNNNNNNNNNNNNNNNNNNNNNNNNNNNNNNNNNNNNNNNNNNNNNNNNNNNNNNNNNNNNNNNNNNNNNNNNNNNNNNNNNNNNNNNNNNNNNNNNNNNNNNNNNNNNNNNNNNNNNNNNNNNNNNNNNNNNNNNNNNNNNNNNNNNNNNNNNNNNNNNNNNNNNNNNNNNNNNNNNNNNNNNNNNNNNNNNNNNNNNNNNNNNNNNNNNNNNNNNNNNNNNNNNNNNNNNNNNNNNNNNNNGCAAAUUCAGAUUGGGGAGUACUUUACAUAAAAAUAUCAUUUGCCAUGUUGCUAUGUUGGUUGUCCCUACCUUUGAGACAAGCUCAAUUUGUUAAAUACUAAUCACACUACUUCAUCUCCACUUGAGUAGAUCUCUAUAAAUGCUCUCAUGCUACCUUUAUUUGCUUUAGUAUAUGUCUAGGUUUGGAGUAGUUUCAUUUAUCUCUUAAUUAAGCAUGGUGCUUAGUUAGGAAUGUUGAUCUUACUUCCAAGGGAGUUUAAAUUAAGCAUGAUGCUUAGGUUAAAAUGCCCUCCUGAAUCAAAUUAGACAUGGUGUCUAGGUUGAUUUUUAAGCCGAUAGUAUGCUCUAGUAGAUAUUGGAUAUUUUGUUGGACUAACCCCUAUAGGAAAACUUUCAAUAUCGACUUGGGAAGUCCUGAGAUAAACUCACAUUGGAGACAAAGAGAGAGACACAUGAAAGUUAACAAUUUACACAAGGAAGGCAUAGCUCACAAGAGAUGAUCCAUGGAGGGUGCCACAAACACGAUGCACAACUGCUAAGAAAGGAAGGCUUCCACAAGGUGAUACUGUACCAUCACUCUUCAAGUAAGGUAACAUCUUAAGGUACUUGACUAUCACUUCUAUAAAGCUUCUCCUUGGUUCUGGCGUUCACAUGAAUAUAAGAGACAAACAUGUAUGAUUUACAACUCUAGAUUAACCAACCCAAUCGAUUCAAUAUGUUUAGUCCUUCCACCUUUGUGAUCCCACACUCCUAAUCAUAUGAGCUAAAAUGUUUCACACUCAAUCUUUGGAAGAUAUAUAUAAAAGAAACAACAUAAAAAUAGAAAGAUUAUCUUUCCAUUAGGUUGAGCGAUUUGAUCUGACAAAUGUUUUAAAUGUUAUACUCAUGAUCUUAUUAUCCAUCAACUUGGUCUUGCUCACUAUGCCUAAGGUUAGAGAAGAAUAAAUACACUUUUGGUUCUGUUGGUGUUUUCCACCAACAGGGCCUAUGCACUUGAUCUCUGCCUUGUCUGUAUGAGCAGGUACACUUCAAGCAAACUAUGAAGGAGUUUUACAACUCCCAGACUCCACCAAGUGAAGAACCUAGAUCAACGAGUACACACACUGGAGAGACUGGACACUCAGGCAAUCACUGCCCUGAGAUGCUUGAGGACGUAACUACUAGAGUAACCCCGUUGUGGAAGUAAUUACUGACCUUUUGCCGGUCAAGAGAGACGAUCCAGGACGCCCCGUCAUCCCGAUCUCCAUCGGCAUGGUGGACUUCCCAGAAGUACUCUGUUACUUUGGCUCCAGCGUCAACAUUAUACCCAGGGUACUCUAUGAAAAAUUCUUUACACAUCCUUUAUUAGAGACAGCCAUGUGUUUGCAUCUUGCAGAACGUACGCUAAGUUUCCCAAAGGGAAUAUUGAAGAACCUCUGCGUCCGAGUUGGUACCUUGUACGCCCCAGCAGACUUCAUGGUGAUAGAGACUGGUACUGAUGAGAGGGCACCCAUCAUCCUAGGGAGGCCAUUCAUGAACACCUUGGGAGCUGUCAUCUACGCUAGUGCUGCCAAGAUCAGUUUCUACAUCAAGGGAAUGAAGGAGACAUUUUCCUUGAAGAACAAGAUUACACAAAUCUCAGAGCAAUCCCGACAUGAACCAAGGAAGAGGACCAACAGGAGGAACAGAAACAAGCAAAUGUAGACCGAGUCAGCUAAGAUGGUCACUGCAGUUUAAGGAUGUCAAGAUCAUUGACUUAAGUCACCGUUCCUGACCAAAAAGGACGACCUAGUCACCUAUCAGCUCCUAUUCGGAACCAUGCCCCUAAAACCGACAUACAUUCAGCUCCAGAUGGCAGAUCAGACAUUCCGAAAGGUUGAAGAUUUUUAGGUUAUUGACAUAGGAGAAGACGAGUACGAUCCAUCCAUCAUCCUUGAGAGGCCGCUCCUCAGCACCGUUAAAGCAAUCAUCUACAUUGGAACCUGAGAAGUUCACAUGCACUUCACCUCUGAGGAGGUACGCCGCUAUUUUACUGACCCUAACUAUAUCGUUGAAGACUCUAAGCAGGCCAGGACAAGAAGAAGACGACGCAACCACAACCAGAGAAGGCAAAUCAUCAAGGACGGAUGGGCAGACUACGAAGGAGAAGUAGUAAGGUCUGAAGACAUACAACUUGAACAGAACUGUCCUGACGAGACCGUAGCACCGAGUCAGGUGUGUAGAGAGAAGAUAGUUAUACAUGAAGAGCAAGCGCUGCCGGAACCACCGACUACGCCAUCCAGCGAAUCCUAGGACGAUUGAGAAAAUGGAGAGUCCCGUUCGGAGGACUUAAAAACACCGAACGCCUUGCCAAGAGGUAAACUUGGUAGUUAUCCUUUUCUUUUCAAUUAUCUUAAAAUAGUUUGCUUAGUUAAUCUGGUUCAUAUCAUCUUGAAAAUAAAAUAAAAAUGUUAAAAAAUAGUAAGCCCCAUGUGAGUAUGCUCAUGGCAUAAAACCCAUAAGUAUAUUCACUGUGGUGGCAUAAAAAUAAAAUAAAUAUAUUUAUGUUCUAUAAAAAUGAAAAUAUAAAAAUAAAUUUAUGAUCCUACCAAAGAGUGUAAUAUUUAUUGAGGAGGCUCAACAUGAUAAAGGCUAGAUAUUUAUGCUAACACUUAACCAGUUCCACAAAGCUUUGUUGUCUAUUUGAGCUCCACAGAAUUCAAGGAUCAAAGAAGACUAGCAGACAGAGGACAUCCUAAUCACUGUCAGGGUGCUGCCGACAUGCAAAUACACCUCCGCCACCUGCUACAUCAGAAGAAAUUACGUCAAAAUCCAGCUUGGGGGAGAGCACCCCCAAUUAUCCAGCUAAGUGUUUCUACUCACGUUUAUAUUUUACUCAAAUAAUAAAAAUAUGCAUAAUCAUAAAAACCCAAAUAAAGAUUUUGUGCUUAUAUAUAUAUAUCUUUGCUUAGUUUGCUAAAUAAAUAAUAAAUAAAAUUUGCUAUGAACCCUCGUGAUAAGCUCUCACAUGGAAAUGAUGAAUAGUUGCUCUGCCAUGUACCUAGUUUUCAAGUUUAAGCUUUCUCUCAAGUUUAGGCAUAACUGUUAUAAUUUAAACCUGCUCUAAACCUAAACUUCUGGGGAGAGUACUUGAUCUAAAGUCUAAGUCGUUAACAGAUACGAUAUGGGAAGGUUGAGCUGUUGUUUAUCUGUUCCUAGAGAUGCUAGAAUUCUGGAGAAUUUUAUCUUUGAAAAUCUUUAAAAUAACACAUGAUGAGUUCCUGUAUGAUGAGAGUUUAAAUUCCUACCACAGCCAUAUAUACAUGCUUGUUAGACUAUGAACCAUACAUUUACUUUUUACUGCUUAUGAGCAUUGAGUGUGGUCAAGCUGUGUAGACCCUUAGGAGCUUGUCAUGUGGUUAAAUCAAGAUUCACUUGCACGUUCACUCACACAUGCUGCUUCUACUCCAGAACUACGCAUCCACAUAUAUCCACCCAUUUCCAUCUCCAGAAUCACCUAAAAAUAUUCUACUCCUAAUCCGGGAGAGAAUAGCCAAAAACAUUUCUGUUUUCCCCUGUGAAAUAAAUGCUCAAGUUAUCUUGGUUAGUACCACUUGCUAUAUUAUUUCAGGAGAUGAGUGCUCUAAAAAUAAGAAAGAAAUAAAGAAAGAAUAUGAGGAAAUAAAAAGGGGCAAGUGCCCGAAACCUCGAAAGAAAAAAAAAGUGAGACGAGAGGUAAAAAUGGACAAGUGUCCGACAAUAGAAUUAGGGGUACAAGAUACCCACAUGAGAGAAAAGAAAAAGAAAAUAUAGAUCAUCUCAUUCUUCUCAAAAAAGUUUCAAAAGAGCAAGAAAGGUAUGUAUCCCCUCAAAAGAGCACAAGUAGAAUUAGACAUUCACCAUUGUUAUCACCAUCAUCACCAUACAUCAUUCAUUCGCCACACAUGCACAUCUUGAUUUGACUUAUUGACUUGUUCUUCUGGAUCCAUGGUUUGACUAUGCAAUAAAUGUCUUGUAAGUAUGUAUUAGCUAUCUCCCAUCUAUGAGCUCCAGAUAUCAAAAGCCUUAUUAGAGUAGGGUGAGAGAGAAGGCAAUGUCACUAUGCCUCAUACCAAAAAUACCACAUACUUUGAGAGAAGGCAUACACCUUUACUGCCUUGGUAAGGAUCCAGAAAUACCACAAAAGAGAGACUAGAGAGAGUCAUACAAGGAAUUUCUUAGUUUUAUUUGAAAAUCUGCAAAAACUCCAGAGUUAUAGUUAAUCAAAGAACAAGAGACAUGGCGCUUGACUAGACCAUUCUAUCUUUUAACUGCUCAAGACACAAGUGACGGUUGCAAGCCCCAUGGUGGAAGGUAAUAUGAGUAAGUUUAAAUCUUAACAGUUACCCUAACCCAGAGAUGAGAUUUUGUUUGAACGCAUGUAUAUCUUUAAGGCAUGAAACCACUACAGAAACUCUUGAGUUCAUCUUUGCUCAGGGACGAGCAAAGGUUAAGCUUGGGAGAGCUUGUUGACGGUCCUUAAUGCUCACAUUUAACUGUCAACUAAUCAUGGAAAAGGAUCUAAAUGAGCAUUAAGGACCGUCAACAAUGGGGUUAUGGACUCGUUGGGAUAAAGAGUGUCAGCUAACUCCUUGGAAAUAACAUUUAUCCCAACAUAUGGAUUGUAGUGGACCUUCCUAGCGGACCCUCUAAUUUGGCACAGAAGAAUGGUUGAAGGAGUGAUGAUUUGAGCUACCUUAGGGGACAGCUCUGCUUCUGUUAGUCAUUCAUAACUCAAAAUAGCCGAAAGGCUUUUGACGUGUUCUAUGUCAAUAGAUUCUACUCUUAGAACGGAUUGAGUGGUCCCUGCUAGAGGUCGUGUUUGGAUAGGAAAAUUCGAGGUGUUUCCAUAAUCUUCAAAAAAUCUUCCUCGAAUUCAAAGGGAUGCUCUAAAGGUGGUGGUUCAUCAUCCCUUAGUUGGUUUUGCAUUCCCUUAUCAGGAGUUUUCUCUACAACAAAAUUAAUAGAUGGGUCAGGUGGGAUUUCUAACUUGGUUGCAAGUUCCUCUUCUUUUGGUUUAGGAUUAGGCUCGACUUCUUUUUCUUCUUCAGGAAACUCAUCAUAAAUGCCUGUGUAAGGGGUAUUUUCAAGGAUUCUCUCUAGGAUAGCUCUCCCCUCAUCUAUGAGUUUGUGUGCGAAUGAGCCUCCUGAAGCAAUGUCGAGGUGAAGAGCAGCUUCCUUGUUUAGACCACGAUAAAAGUGGUAGUACAGUACAUGGUCAGGCAGGUGAAGGUUUGGACCAGAAUUGGUAAGGCUUGUGAAGCUAGCCCAAGCUGCUCCUAAAGUUUCCUUCUCUCUUUGUUUGAAUGUAAGAAUUUUGAUUCUAAGGUCAGCGAUUCGAAAAAGUGGGAAGAAAGCGAGACAAAAGUUGUCCCGAAGUUCAUCCCAAUUUCCAUUAACGCCUCCUACAGGAUGAGCAUACCACUUUUUUGCUCUUCCCAAAAGGGAGAACGGAAAUAAUUUCCAUUUAAGGGUUUCUUGUGUCAUGCCGGAAAUAGAUCGGUAAGAGCACAACUGCUUGAAUUCUCUAAGGUGGGUGUAUGGAUCUUCAUCUACUUGCCCAGAGAAGGGUUGCUCCUGAAUCAUGGCUAUUAGAUCAGGGCCGAGGUCGUAGCCAUCUGUAAGAAUUGGAUGUGAUGAUGGUGGUGGCUCUAAUAACUCGCCCUUUGGAGCAUAGAAUUUAUAGAUAGGAGUGAAAUCCAUGUGGUAUGGUGAAAAUGGUAAGGUGAGUGUGGUAAAAAAAGGAAAAGAAAAAGGAUACACGGAUGACUUGGUUCGAAACUAGCACAGCUACAGUUCCCCGGCAACAGCGCCAGAAAGCUUAUUGGGUAUUUUAAACGCAAACAGAAAAAUCUGCAAGCGCACGGAUACCGAUGUAGCUUUCACCUGGGAGUAUUCUAGAGUAUCGAUUUUCCACAGGGAACGUGAGUGUACUAAUUAAGAUUCAAGAUCGCCCAAGGAUAACUAUAUAAUUAUUUUUGGUGGGAAGAGAGGAAGUUUCCUGAGAGUUCUCUAGUUGAUCUAAGAAUCAAGAAUUACUUCAAAGAUUAUUUAUUUUGGGACAUCAGAACACUAACCAUAGAAAGAGAUGAGAAGGGGGCUAGGAAGCUCUGACUACGGUCCUACAAAUACCGAUCCGAACGAGGUGGAAUACGUCGACCGUUAGGGCUGUCACUACCCUAGGGCUACCACAACAAUCCGUAGGAUUGGGUGCAAUUCCAGGUAAUUGCAAGACUAAACACCACGUCUAAUCUAUUAAUUACUACUCUAGCAUUAUAAAGACUAGAGCACUUGAUGCAAGCGGGAAUCUAAUAAAUAACUUGAAUGUAAAUACAAGUAAUUAAAGAACUUAGGAAUUAUGAAUUGAAGAACUUGGAGAACGAUGAAGAACGAACCAGUUGCUGCAAAAGUACAAUGUUGAGGAAGAUCCAACAGAUCCGGCUCCUCCUCCGCUCUCCUCUUCUCUCUUCCUAUUUUCUAGAUUACAACUAGAACUAACUAGAACUAGAACUACAUGAACUAGAACUAGAUCUAGAUGAACUAGAGGGAUCUUCUCUACUUGGAUGAAUAAUUGAAAUCCUAGCUUUGAUUCUGUAGGAGAGGUAUGUUCUCCAGGGGCCAGGGGGCCUGCUUAUAUAGCCCUUUCAAAUGAACGUGGGCCGUCGGAUCAAACCGACUUUAGUCGCACGGAUUUCCUUGAUCCUCAAAGGCGGUGGAGCACGAUCCGCGAGACCUGCCCUGAUUGGUCACCAGGGCAGGGCGGGCGCCCUGCCCCCGGGCCCGCUCGGCCUCCCGUUCGUUCCCGUGGCUUCUGGAGUCUUCUAGAUGAUAGAAAAUUGGCGCACACGUUAAUAUCUCUAUGUAAAUCCGACGUGUGGGCCUUUCCUCCAUAUUUCCUGAUAACCCCCUGCAGAAAUAGACAAACACCAAAACUCGUGGAAUUCUGUCAGUUGAAACCCUAAUUUUGGAUGUUGGUUGCAUAUAGGUCCUUUUCCAUGAUUAGUUGACGGUUAAAUGUGAGCAUUAAGGACCGUCAACAACUGCGUCGUCAUCUGUGCCAUCGCUGGUGGACUGAGAAGGAGCUGUCUGACUCUCUGAAGGUGCACGAGCUGGUGAAGCAGUCUUGGUUGGAUCAGUGUGCUCUGUAGCUGUCUGUGUCGCUACCUAAGUCUCAAGUCCUGUGGAAGAAGCUGGCACAGACACAGUGGCUAUAGCUAAGGUCUUUGGAACUAUAGAGGAAGAAGCAAGCUGCUCAGAUAAAGCCACAGACGAUGACAUACGCUCUGUAGUGGUGACUAGCUAGGUAAAAGCUGCAGGAGCCUGCUAUGGAGAAGGAGUAGGCAGGCCAGUUAGAGCACUAUACAAAAACAACAAGUCCUGCCCCAUUGAGGAGUCCAAAACCAACUGAGAAGCAGAGGCGGAAUGUGGAGUGAAACCUGAGUGUAGGAGUGAACUGAGGUGUCUGCUCAAAGCUAGAAGAGAUAGCACCCUAAGACACCUAGUGCUGUGGAGUGGUGAACGACUGUCUAUGAGUAGGAAGAUGGAGAGGAGGAUGUGACUGACUCUAAAGCCCACUGGGCUGUACACCUGGAGUAGGUGGCCUAACUAGGUAUGUGCCUAGAAGCUGCACCUAUGGUAGAGUAAUCCCUGUUGCUGCCAUGAGGGUUGCCAUCAGAGCUGUCUGCUGGGUCUAGAACGCUAGCUGCUACUCCUGCAAAGAGAGUAGCUGCCUCUGAAGCUCAUCGUACUUGGCCUGCAUGGCUACAUUGACAGCAGCCCGCUCUCUAUCACGUCGAGCCUGCUCCUCAGCUGCCCUUUGCUGGUCGGCUCUCAUGCCCUCUAGAAUACCAAGCUGGGCUGGGUCAGUAGCAGAAGAGGAACCUCCAGCCUCGUGGUCGUGCUGCCUUGGAGGAAGAUCUGGGAUGGGGAGCUGAUUAUCAUCAUCUGAGCUGUCUGUAGCUAGUGCCUACCAGUGCGCAAUGAAUGUAACUGUGAUAUGGUGCCAUAAUACGAGAAUAAUUGCUUACCAAAUAGGCCAGCGUAAUUUCCUUCAUGCAUGCAAAAAUUUUUAAGUAGCAAAAGAAAGCCGCGCACCCACAUGGAUUAGUGUGGGAAAUCGCUGGAGCAUUCAUGUGCAUGUCGUGCAUGCGUGCCCAUUGACCUGGCUCGGCGAGGCGAGCGAGCAAGCGCAUGUGGUUCUUCCUUUUCCUCUUCCUAAUAGCUUCAACAAGACGGAGAUAGCUCAACUAUUUAAGUUGGCCUUACUCUACUUGAAGUAGUAAGGUGGAACUAAAGUCUCCCACCUUUCCAUAUAUACAUGCAUGUGUGAAUGGGUCUUUGGGAUUUAUUUUGAAUUGUUUAGCCCAUGGCCCAAAACAUCUAAUGAACCCCUACCACAUCCCAAGGGCACGCGAGUCAUACUCUUUGUACCAUAGACUGUUAAUAUACCAGCUAUUCAGUGCAGACCGGUUAAGGUUGAACAUCCACCUAGAACAACAAGAUAGGCCCAUCCGCAACUACACAAUGGACUAGGCCUUGAAUUGACAGUUUGGUGCAAAUAGGCUUCAGUCGAAGUCUUGACUGAUACUAGGCUAUCAUAGCCAACCCCGCGAGUAGAGUUUAUAAGUUAUACUCCUAACUCACUUCAUGAGCUUAUUAAAGAAUACCCAAUUCUUAUAAACUGCGACUAACUGUUGGGCUCACAUAUGUGUGUUUUUACAAGAAUACUCUAUAGGACAAUAUCUUGCUAUAAAGCCUCAGAACACAUUAAGACAAAGUCAACCUGCCUUACAGAAAUGAGAGUACUGCAUCUCCAACGGAGUGGGUCAAAUGAAAACGGUUGUACUCUCCCAUUAACCAACAGCUUGUUCUUCCUAGAUCCUAAUUCACGGGAUCUCCGAUCACAUAGGUUGGGUUACUGCUGAGGUUAACUCACAUGGGUCUCAAUCCCAUCUCCUUCGAUGCACUAUCAAUCAUAGUGCGUGAUAGUCCCUUUGUAAAGGGAUCUGCCAGGUUUUUAGCUAUCUGGAUAUAGUCCACAGCUAUUACUCUAGAGCUCCUUAAUUUCUUGAUAGACUUCAGUUUACACUUUAUAUGUUUGCUGGACUUUUUUCCAUUAUCCUGACUAUUCUUCACCUUCGUGAUCACUAUUUGAUUAUCAUAGUUUAUGAGAAUAGUAGGAAUUGGUUUCUCAACCAAGGCAAGUCCAUCAACGUAUCUCUUAACCACUCAGCCUCAGUAGAGGUUGUAUCCAGAGCUGUAAGCUCUGCCUCCAUUGUGGACUUUGUAAGUAUUGUCUGCUUACAAGAUCUCCAAGCGAUAGCACCACCACCCAAAGUGAAUAUGUAUCCACUGGUGGCCUUAAGCUCAUCAGUUUCUAAAAUCUAGUUUGAAUUACUAUAUCCUUCAAGUACCCCUGGGUACCCUGAAUAGUGAAUUGCAUAACUCAUUUUACCUUUUAGAUAACGCAUUAUUCUAUUAAUACCACGCCAAUGAUCACUUCCUGGAUUAGAGAAAAAUCUACACAACUUGCUUAUAGCAAAUGCUAUAUCAGGGUGGGUUGGGCUAGCUAGGUACAUCAAUGAGCCAAUAAUUUGGAAAUAUCUUAGAUGAUCCUUUCCUAAUCUUUUAUUCUUUUGAAGUAUUAGGCUAGGAUCAUAGGGUGUUGAAGAAGGUUUGCAAUCCAUAUAAUCGAAGAAGUUCAAAACCUUUUCCACAUAAUGAGACUAUAAAAGAGUAAUCCCAUUCUCACUCUUAUUAAGUUUAAUAUUGAGGAUCACAUCGGCUUCUCCUAAAUCUUUCAUGUCACAAUUUUGGGAUAAAAAUGAUUUAACAUCAUUGAUCUCAUCGAUGCUUGUCCCCAAAAUUAGUAUGUCAUCAACAUACAAACACAAGAUUACUCCUUUGUUGUCACAGAACCCAUCAAAUUAUAAGAGUUCAAGUGUAGGAACGAUCGCUAGAGCAAUUAAGUUUCCUUCUUCAUUUUCAUCCACCAAAACAGAGGUUUAAGGUCCUGAUACAUCUUACUACUACCAGGAUGAAUAGAUAGCUUGGAUUUAUGAGCUAAGACUGGGGCUGAUGUCAGUAAGGUUCUUAACUUACGGAAUGUCUCAUAACAAUCUGGCAUCCACAGGAACUUUUCAUCUUUCUAAAGGAAACGAGUCAUAGGCUUGGAUAUUUUGGAAAACUUUAGAAUGAAACGACGAUGAUACCCAGCUAAGCCUAGAAAACUCUGCACCUCAUGCACUAAGGUUGGAACCUUCCAAUCCAACACUUCUUACACCUUGGUCGGAUCAACCGAGAUUCCUUCUUCAAACAAGACAUGGCCCAAGAAAGGUACUUUCUUUAGCCAAAACUCACACUUGCUAAACUUAGCAUAAAGCUGAUGCUCACGCAACUGAGUCAACACCACACGCAAAUGCUCUGCAUGUUCUUCUUCAUUCCGAGAAUAUACUAAGAUAUCAUCAAUGAAGACCACCACGAAUUUGUCUAAUUUGGGCAUGAAGACCGAAUUCAUGAGAUACAUGAAAUGCACUGGUGCAUUGGUCAGACCGAAGGACAUAAUGAGGUACUCAUACAACCCAUACCUUGUUGAGAAAGUCGUCUUGGGUAUAUCUUCAGGACGGAUCUUGAUCUCAUGGUACCCGGGUCGCAAAUCAACCUUAGAGAAUACCUUGGCUUUAGACAACUAAUCAAACAAGAUAUCAAUGCGAGGAAGAGGGUACUUGUUCUUGAUAGUCAUCAUGUUGAGUGGAUGAUAAUCCAAUGCGCAAGGAUUGAUCCUUCUUCACAAAGAUAGCCGGACAACCACAAGGAGAAGAACUAGGAUAAAUAAGACCCUUCUAGAGAUAGGAGCAGUGCCUGGAAGCAAUUUGAUUUUAAACUCCAUGUCCCGGUCUAGAGGAAGCUGUUGACGGUAGAUAAGUAUCAAUUUUAUAUCAACAAGAGAAUGGAAUAACGGUAUGAAAUAAUCACCAAAAGUAGAAUAGGGUUUCAUCUGACAGAUUUCCAUAGGUUUUGGUGAAUGUCUGUUUCUAUAGGGGGUUUUCAGGAAUUGACCCUUAGAGGCCCACAUGUCAUGAUUACAUAGAGAGAAAUGAUAUAUCUACGCCACAUAUACAAAAGAAGGAUCUAGAAGAGUCGGGAAUCUACCAGAACAAAGCAGAACACGAGCGGAGUCUGGGGAGGGCGCCUAGAGGGGGCGGCUACCCUGCCCUCCUGACCAAUCAUGAGCAGUCUUAUGGAUCGAGCUAUAAUCACCUUUGAGGACCAUGGAUCUUCAUCCAUUAAGUCAGUUUGAUCCAAGGGUCACAGUUAAUCCCACCGGCCUAUAUAAGGUGGGGUAGACCCUAGGGUUAGAGGCAUUGAUUAGAAGAGAUAACCAUUCCCCUAGGGUUAGAGGCAUUGAUUAGAAGAGAUAACCAUUCUCAUUGAUAGAAUUCAUUCUCUACCUUCUUCUCUCUAGAGCUCCAAGUUUAGAAGCAUAGCUACAUAGAAUAGAUCUAGUUGGAGGCAAGCAUCGCUUGGUUUCUAGAUUUGUCGAAAAGAUACUCAGUAAUUCUUGUAAUCUUUAUCCUACUUUAUUCUAGUCUGUCAUUAUAUAUAUUAUUUCAUCAUAUUAUGAAUAUGACUUUGCUCUAUUCUAUUAUAUUGGAUAUGACUUUGCUCUACUUGCUUAUAUUCUUAAUUAUAUUGUUCUUAGUCUAUUAUGAUUAUAUGCUUGGCAUAGUUGGUUUAGAUUUAUAUUCAAAUAUAUGUUUGUAUAGCACUCACUCUUUGAUAUCACGGGGUGGUCGACAUUAUGUAGGUGUGGUGCCUAUAUCGUGUUUGCCUUCAUUUGCAUGCUAUAUUUUGGGUCGUGUGGCAGAUCGCGGGGAUGAUAUACCCGUUGAGUCCUCUAUAGUCCACCCUCCAAAUGUAGUUUCUGUAGACACUAAUUACGAGGAGAUGAUUACUUUAUUCCUGAUUUCCCUCGGUAAUGUCCAUAUGUGUAGAUAUAAUCUGCUCUUGCUAUGAUUGCCAAGUAUAAUUGCACUAAUCAUAAUAUGCUAGACUAUAUAGUUGGAAUAACAUAGGAAACAUCUUAGUAGAUCAUUCUAAUUCAUGCUAGUGCUAUAGACUGGAGUUCUCUAGAGAUACAUUUAUCAUUCUAUGUUUGAUUACUAUUCAUUAUAUAUAUUUAUCUUGAUUAUGUGACUUACCCAUACAUUAAGUUAGAUAGAUAAGAUGUGGUUACCCUCAUGAGAUUACAUGCAAGUGAUAUCUAUUCCCUUGGUUAUCAUUCCCGUGGGUAAAAUUAUAAAUACGAUACCUGGAACUUUCCUGGGUGAAAUGCUACAAUGGUAUAAAUCUGUGCGCUUGCGGAUACCUGAUUCCAUAUUCAUCAUUCUAAGAGAGCAUUGCAUAUUUACUACCACUAGCGUAUUUCUUGGGGUCAUGCUGGGGAUGACAACCUAGCCACUGAGGAUAGGGUCUUUACUCUACUCUUAGUAAGUGACGCUAAGAAAUGCCAAUAGAAGCCUAGGCAAGUCAUUAGGAAAGAUAUCUAGAAACUCACACACCAUCGAAAUGUCCUUGAUGGCACUAGAUGUAACUGCAUUCAUCGUGUUGUGGAUGUUAAUAUCGCGAGGAAGUUGCACUAAGAAUGCCUCCUUAGUGCUAGGAUCCCUCAACAUCACCACGCGAGUAGUGGUGUCAAUAAGGACUCCAUUGCCACUCAUCCAUUUCAUUCCCAGAAUCACAUCUAUGCCCACACCAGGAAAAACAACCAAAUCAGCAAGAAACUAACGGUCUCCUAUUUCUAGAGUUGCCCCCAAACCACUUGAUUUGUAGAAAUAUUAUUCCAGGAGGCACUAAUGCAAUAACUGCCUUUAUCUAGGGUGACUGCCUUGAGAUUAUGCUUAGAUACAAAGUCUGAACUCACAAAUGAAUGCAAUGCUCUAGAAUAAAAAGCACAAGUGCAACACAUCAGUUAACUAGAAACUUACCAGCCGUCACCACUUCACCAGCAAGGAUCUCUUCGGCAGGUACGGGCAGUUGCUUUGCUAAUGACUCGUCUGAUUGCAAUUCUAGCAUGGGCGGUUGGCAGGUGGAGCCUUUGCAUUGCUGGGCCUAGUGUUUCCCCUAGGAAGAGCAAUGGAAUACCCCUUACAGAACCUAGUUUUCAUCGGAUUCUUCAUCACCGAAGGUUGGUACUGCAUAUUUGGGGUUGGCGCACGAUACUGGGGCUUCGCUGCCAUUGGAGCCUUGGAAUCGAAUACCUCGGCCUCAAAAGCUCGCUCGCGAGUUUUGGUCGCAGUGUACACAACAUUGUAAUUCUUCUGAGUAAGAGCAUCACAGACAAACUCAUUGAAUGUGGCACAUUUGGUAUUACCCAUAGUCUUCAACAACUUGGGACCAAGACUGGUAAUUUUAUUUACCUUAGUGCUCAUGAACUCAGCUCCAUCUAAUGAAUAGUGUCAGUUAACAACCUUUGUGAAAGGAUCAAGAUGCCCAAGAGGGGGGAGGGGUGAAUUGGGCUUCUCUAAAAAUUUAAAAAACCUAUAAGCUCCAAUUCACCCGCUUGUGCCUAGGUGUGUUCUAGGGAGGUACCAGAUAAAAGUUUUGCAACCUAGUUCCAAUCCUAUUCUAGCAUGGCAAUUAUAGAAAUGUAAAUGCUCAAAGUAAAUGCUAGAAUGCAAAGGAUGAGAGCUAGAAGAAUGUAGCAAUGUUUUGCUGAGGUAUCAGAGAGUCGCCACUCUCCACUAUUCCUCAUUGGAGCACCUGUGCAAGGGCCAUGCUCCCCCUUGGUCCGCUCAAGGACCAAGUGCUCUCUAUGGGCUGAUUCUUUGACACUCUGUCGCGGUGAAUCACCCAAAACCACUCACAAGCUUGACACGAGCCACCCACAAGAACUUUGGGCAGUCUUCGUGCCUCCAAUCACCAUCGAACCAUCUAGAUGAUGGCGAUCACCAAGAGUAACAAGCAAAGAACUCUCACUUAACCCAAACAAGGCUCUAGAGAGUGGUGGAUGCACACUUGAACUCUUGGAACUCAACUAGAGAAGGAUUCACUCAAGAAAUCACUCAAUUCUCAAUCCUCUCUAGGCUCUUGCUUCUCUCUUGCACCACAAGGUGUUACUCAGCUGAUCAAAUGGGAAAGAGACCUACCAUGGACGAGGUGAAGGAGCAUAAAUACCCCCCAUCAAGUCCAAGGGCCGGCCACCCGAAUUCCUCCAAAAACGGGAGCACCAGACGUGCUCUGCAGAGCAUCCGGUGCUCCGUCAAUAGCUAAUUGUACUUGCUCUGCAACACACCAGACGCACCCACAGUGGAUCCGGUGACUCACUUGUAUCGCGUCCGGUGCUAGGGCAAACUUCAACCCUCUCUGGGUACGGGACCGGACGCACCCUAGUGGGUCUGCUGCGUGCGUUCGGUGCUCAGUCAAACUGUAGACCUCCCUGGGUAAGGGACCGGAUGCACCCCGGCGAGUCUGGUGUGUGUGCCCCGUGCCAAACCCUAGGCACCCAGACACGCCGACCCAAAUCAUCACCACCGGACGCGCUCAUAGAGCGUUCGGUGCCUGUUUCAGCAUAAAAACUUCGUCGAAGCGCAAUCUUUCCAAAAUGAAGUUUGUUCCUCUCGAUCUAUGGACUUUCUCAGAGCUACCUAGUGCUAGGUUUACCAAGUGUGCACCACACCUAAACCUAAAGCCUUGCCUAGGUCAAGCUACCCACUCAAUGCCCCCUUAAUAGUAUGGUCAAAGGAAAAACAAAGUCCUAAACUACUCUAGGUGCCCUUCUUCACCAUAUGGCACCUAGACCUAGUCUAGUUUCGAUGAUGUCCAACCAUCCUUUGAAAACCAAAACAAUUUCCACCAUUAUGUCGGCAUGAAUGAUCUAGUCCAUCAAUCACCAUUACCAUGACCUAACAUAAAUGACUUUGCCUCUACAAAACACACGUUAGUCAUAGUAAUCAACAUUGUCAUUAAUCACCAAAACUCAUUAGGGGCCUAGAUGCAUUCAGUCUCCCCCUCUUUGGUGAUUGAUGAUAAUAACCUCGAGUAUGUUUGAAGUGAGGUUUUCAAUUGACUUGGUUUCUAUAAGCAUGUGACAAUAAGAACAAAAAAGAUUAGACAUGCUUAUAUCAACCAUGCCUGAUAUCCUGUAUCCCAGAAUGUAAGAUGUGUGCAACAGGAUACAACAACAUAAGGCUCAUAAGAUAUUGGAGUAAGAACAUAGAAGCAAAACAAUAUGAGCCAAACACAUGACAUAAAGGAUAUGAUCAUAAAGCAUAAGUCAUGUCUCACAACUAUAACAAAAUGUAUCUCACAAAUGCAUAAAGUAAACAUGAUGCAUGAAGAGUAGCAUACAAAAGAACCAAAAGCCCACUCACUGGCUCCCCCAAAAUCUAACAUACUCUCCCUCUCCCCCUUUGGCAUCAAACGCUAAAAACCUAAGAAGCUACAGGUGGAGUUGGAGCAGAGGAGUCACGUGGCACUACCUCAAACUGAGCUGCUGUUGGGUAUUUUAAACGCAUACAGAAAAAUCUGCAAGCGCACGGAUACCCAUGUAACUUUCAUCCGAGAGUAUUCUAGAGUAUGAUUUUCCACAGGGAACGUGAGUGUACUAAUUAAGAUUCAAGAUCGCCCAAGGAUAACUAUAUAAUUAUUUUUGGUGGGAAGAGAGGAAGUUUCCUGAGAGUUCUUUAGUUGAUCUAAGAAUCAAGAAUUACUUCAAAGAUUAUUUAUUUCAGGACAUCAAAACACUAACCACAGAAAGAGAUGAGAUAGGGGGCUAGGAAGCUCUGACUACGGUCCUACAAACACCGAUCUGAACGAGGUGGAAUACGUCGACCGUUAGGGCUGUCACUACCCUAGGGCUACCACAACAAUCCGCAGGAUUGGGUGCAAUUCUAGGUAAUUGCAAGACUAAACACCACGUCUAAUCUAUUAAUUACUACUCUAGCAUUAUAAAGACUAGAGCACUUGAUGCAAGCAGGAAUCCAAUAAAUAACUUGAAUGUAAAUAAAAGUAAUUAAAGAACUCCAAAAUUAUGAAUUAAAGAACUUGGAGAACGAUGAAGAACGAACCAGUUGCUGCAAAAGUACAAUGUUGAGGAAGAUCCGACAGAUCCGGCUCCUCCUCCGCUCCUCUUCUCUCUCCCUAUUUUCUAGAUUACAACUAGAACUAACUAGAACUAGAACUAGAUGAACUAGAACUAGAACUAGAUGAACUAGAGGGAUCCUCUCUACUUGGAUAAAUAAUUGAGACCCUAGCUUUAAUUCUGUAGAAGAGGUAUGUUCGACAGGAGCCAGGGGGCCUGCUUAUAUAGCCCUUCCAAAUGAACGUGAGCCGUUGGAUCAAACCGACCUUAAUCGCACGGUUUUCCUUGAUCCUCAAAGGCGGUGGAGCACGAUCUGUGAGACCUGCCCUGAUUGGUCACCAGGGCAGGGCAGGCGCCCUGCCCCCGGGCCCGCUCGGCCUCCCGUUCGUUCCCGUGGCUUCUGGAGUCUUCUAGAUGAUAAUAAAUUGGCGCACACGUUAAUAUCUCUAUGUAAACCCGACGUGUGGGCCUUUCCUCCAUAUUUCCUAAUAACCCCCUGCAGAAAUAGACAAACACCAAAACUCGUGGAAUUCUGUUAGAUGAAACCCUAAUUUUGGAUGUUGGUUGCAUAUAUGUCCUUUUCCAUGAUUAGUUGACGGUUAAAUGUGAGCAUUAAGGACUGUCAACAAGCUCCCCCAAGCUUAACCUUUGCUUGUCCCUGAGCAAAGCUAAAAUCAGCUAGAAGACAGGGGUUACUUUUAUGCCUCUUACUACAGGGUUUUUAAGUUAUCACUAAGGUCCUAAGUGAUUGAAAAACAUAAUGAUCAAGUCAAGCACUAUGUCUCUAGUUCUUCUAUCUUACCUUUGUUCUGGAGUUUUUUUGUAAGUUUCCAAAAUAAAACUGAGGCAUUUUCCUUCUUCUCGAAAGAUAUAUAAGUAGAGCUUUAAAAGUUUUAGUAUACUUACUUUGCAUUUUGCUAUGUCAAUGCUCGGAGCAAGGGAGAGGAAUGUCAUACUCCUAGAUCAAGACCUUUGACCUUUUUGAAAAGUUUGUCAUCUCUUACUGGCAUAUUGCUUAUUAGAGGGACCAUGGGCUAUCAUUUUUUUUCUUUCUUUUUCAGCCUUUCUCUCUUUUUUUAUGAUGUGGGCACCAAUGUUGACGGUCCUUAAGUACUAAAAUUAACCAUCAAAUAAACAUGGAAAACGAACAAUAUGCACUAAACAUCUAGAAUUAGGGUUUUAUCUGACAGAAUUCAAUGAGCUUUGGUGUUUAACUAUUUCUGCAGGGGGUUAUCAGAAAAUAUGGAGAGAAGGCCCACAUGUCAUGUUUACAACGAGAUAAUUACGUGCCGCGCAAUUUUCCUCAAUCUAGAAGAGUCCAGAAGCCACGGGAACGAACGGGAGACCGGAUGGGCUCGGGGGCAGGGCGCUCGCCCUCCCCCCUUGGGCGCCCGCCCUGGUCUCGGGUCCAAUCCGAACCAAACUCAUGGAUCGUGUUCCACCGACCUAAAGGAUCAAGGAAAACCGUGCGAUCAAUGUCGGUUUGAUCCAAUAGCCCAAAUUCACUUGAAAGGACUAUAUAACCAAGGCCUCUCCACCCCUGGAGGAGAGAAGAGAAGAGGAGAAAUCAUUAUCAGAGGUAGCCAUCAAAGUUAGGGUUUAGAGCUUCUCUCCAACAGAGAAUUAGAAUUAGCUACUUCCUAAUCCUUCAAGUUUAGAGGAUUGAUUAGAUAGCAAUUAGAGAAGUAGAGCACUACGUUGUGGAUUCGGAUCUUCGGUAAUAAAGAUUGGUAUUAUUCAUAUCUUUCUCUAAUACUUUGUUCUAAUUACAUUAUGUCUCUAUUUAUUAUGAUCUUAGUUUGCUCUAGUUCUAUAUUUGAUAUAGUUAUGAUUGAUAAUGAGUUUAUGUAUAAGUUUGCAAAGCGCUUAGCUCUUGACUCGAGGGAGUUAAGUGGUAGAUCACAUGUGGGCGUGGUGCUUAGAUGUUAUUUACCUACAAAUGUAUCCUAUUGGCCGGGUUGUGUGGUAGUUCACGAUAGUGAUAGCUUCGUUGAUUCUUAUAUAGUCCACCCUCCGUCGAUAGGACAGGCAGAAUUUGUAUUGCGGAGUAAGUCUUACGAUGUUCUGAUUUACUUUAGCAAUGUUCCUUAUACAUGAAUGAAGAGUCUUUUAUGCUAUACAUGAUCUUGUAGAUAACUAGAGUAGAUUAUGAAUUAGUAGAUAGUAGAUAACUUAGAAUCCAUUCUCUAGCUAAUCCGACGUCAAAUACAUAUAUGAGGAGUAGUCUAUUUUCUAAUCGCUGUGUUAUUUACCCGUGAACUUAUAAUUCAUUAUCAUUAUCUUUAUGGUUUACCCCCUGCCAAAGUAAGUGACUGUGUGACGAGUUUCUCAUUAGUAAUCAUGUUCUUGCAAGUUUAUCUCUAGUCUAUGCCUUGAUAGAUUUAGUCCUUAUCUUAAUUUCACCCCUUGUUCUCUUAAGCAAAGUUAUAAAUAACGAUGCCUGGAAUACUUAUCCUGGUGAAAUGCUACAAUGAGGUGUUUUAUCUGUGUGCUUGUGGAUAGAAUAGAUUAUUUUCUAGAGAGCCUUUACAUUUAUAAAUACCUUUGUACACUCUGGCACCAUGCUGGGGAUGACAACCUAGUAUCUAAGUGGUGUUAGCUAGUGUCAACAAGCAUUUCUGGCACCGUUGCCGGGGAGGCAAAAGGGUAACACAUAGGAACGGUAAGGAAAGUCAGGAAAUCAGUCAACGUUAUUCACACAAAACAUUAGACUAGACUAUAGAGAAAUAAUUGCAUCAAACAGCUACUAAGUGAGAAAUCAUAACAAGGCACCUCUGCUUUGGCAGGUUCACCCUGUUGUUUUUCUAUGUUUAUAUUUUUAUACAGGGUAUAUCAGGAUUGACUUUGGGUACAUUCAACUCUUCAUCAUCAGAACCAAAGCAAUCAAGAGAAGAAGAAGCUAGCUACCAAUUGCUGAAGCUAUGGCAUAGAAGACCCUACAAGAAUUCUCUGCUCCAAGUCUUGAGAACAUUCCAACUGGUCCAAGAUUUGCAGUAGAAAAAGGAGUACCCGAGUUCGAGCUCAAGUCAAGCCUCAUCAAUUUGGUACAAGCUACACAAUUCAGUGGAAAUGCACAUGAAGAUGCUAGUGCACACUUGCAGAAUUUCUUAGAGAUUGGAAGCACAAUCCACAUCAACAGAGUUGACAACGACGUCAUACUACUUCGCCUUUUUCCAUUCUCACUAGAAGGGAAAGCGAGGAAGUGGUUCUACACUUAUCAAGAUAACAUCAACAACUAGACGAACUUGUCAGAUGCCUUUCUAUCAAAGUUUUUCCCUGUAGGCAAAACAACUGCCUUAAGAGGAAAUAUUGUCAGUUUCCAACAGCGGAAGACAGAAGCCAUUUCAGAAGCAUGGGAGCAUUUUCAAGGAUACAUUUCAGAUUGUCCUCACCAUGGAAUGGCCACAUCGUUACUUAUGCAGGCCUUCUACCAUGGAUUAACCCAGAAGGCUCGUGAGUGCCUAGAUGCAUCUGGUAAAGGAUCAUUCUUGGAGCUUACAAUUGGAAAAGCAAAGAUACUUUUGGAUAAGAUAGUAGAAAAUCAAAGCUGGUUCCAAGAUGAAGCUCAACAAUGUCAUCAAACUGAAGAAAUACCAGAAGAAGUAAAUGCACUGUCAAAGAUGGAAAAUUUGCUCCAUAGGAUUGACCAGAGGGCCAAGUUCAAAGAAGAUCAAAGGGCCAUUGAGAUAGCACACAAAUAUCAAACCACUCCGAGUCAACCCAAUAGCAAAGGUCUGAAUUUACGUAACACUUUCAAGCAACUUUCAUUAAAAGAGAUAAUUGCUCAACAAACUAAAAUUAAUGAUGAAGUUAAACAAAGGCUAGAUACAAAUGAAUCAUCUCUAAAAGAUAUACACAGUAAAAUGGAUUUUCUAUUAACUAUCUUUGAUGAGCAAAACACUCUUAAUAAAAGGGUAGAGCUUAAAUUAAUAAAGUUAGCUGCUGCACUGCCUGUUGCUACUAACAUUGAGCAUGUAAAGAAUAUAACUACUAGAGGAGGCAAAGCCACCAGAGAUACCCCAUACCCAAAAGAGAAACAAAGAACAUCAGCACCAGUGCAACCAGCAGUGAUAGAAGAAGAAAGCCCAGUUGAAGCAGAAAAUCUGCUGCAACCACCAAGAACUGGAGAAAUGAGGAAAGAUUUUUACGACACCAAUUAUUUGCCAUUUCCUAUAAGAAAUAGAGGACUGCAGUCGAAUGAGAAGUUUGGUAAGUUUGUAGAGGUCAUUCAGAAAUUAUAUGUCAACAUACCUCUACUUGAUGCCAUACAGGUACCUAGAUAUGCAAAAUACAUCAGAGAUAUUCUUAACAAGAAGAGACCACUGCCCACCACUGAGGUUAUCAAGCUGACAGAAGAAUGUAGUGCGACCAUGCUCAAUAAACCACCAAAGAAGACGGAAGAUCCAGGAUGCCCCACUAUUGAUUGCUCGAUCGGAAACCAGCACUUCAACAAUGCACUUUGUGAUCUCAGAGUAAGUGUCAGUGUGAUGCCAGCAUCAGUCUACAAAAAGCUUGAGCAUACGACCCUAGAACCAACAUCAAUGUGCCUGCAACUAGUAGAUCAAUCGGUUCGACACCCGUUGGGCAUCGCCGAAAACAUUCCAGUCAAGAUCAGAGAUUUCCUGGUGCCAGCAGACUUCAUGGUACUAGACAUGAGUCCUGACUCAAAAGUGUCCAUCAUCCUUGGAAGGCCAUUAUGAGCACCGCCAAUGCCCACAUUGAUGUCGGGAAAGGAGAAAUCAAGUUCAACAUAAACGGACAAGAAGAACACUUCACAUUCAAGCCCAUACCAGAGAGAGACUCUACAGUGAAGGAAGUUCAUGAUGAAGAACCACUAGAGACACCAUCUCGAGAGGAAGGUAAUUUAGAAGAUUAAAAGAUUUGGAGGUCCAGCUUGGGGGACCUAAAAAUCCCAAACCCUCACCGGAGGUAAAUCGGUAUUUAUCCGCAUCAUUAAUUCUUGCAUAAUUAUUUAGUGCAUUAGUCAUAUUUAUUCAUAGCAUUAUUAUAAUAAUAGAAACCCCCAUAUAAAUAAUAUUUAUGGUGUGUAACAACACAUAUUUUAUUAAUUAUUGUGGAGGCACAAAAAUAUUUUUCAUUAUCAUUUCAAAUAAGUUUCAAUUCUUAUAGAUUUUCCUGCAUUAUAUUUAAUUAUAGCAACCUUCCAGAAGCAUGACCCACACUCCUUGGGUCCUACAUGUCAUACACCACACCUCACACACAUCCCAUCACAUUAUUUGAUCCACCAACAUAUCUCAACUAACUAGCACUUUUCCACCGGCCAACCACCACCCAUGAUCCAUUAUUUUGCGUAAGAGUUAAGCAAAGAAGGGAGUGGAGAAAGGGUAGCCAGGAUGGACACCAAAGGUGGGUGCCCGCCCACCUAUAGAGGGUGCCCGCCCUGCCCCCUCUUCCUCCUAUAAAUUGCCACCUCCUCCCUCCAACUUCUUCACACAAGCAUUCCAGAAAACCACGCAAGUUUCAGUUUCCAUAGAAGGAGCUCUUGUAGUGAAGAAAAAAGAGAGUAGAGAGGAAGAGAAGAGUGGCAAACAAGUUGGUAGUUUUUGAGUGAGAGAGUGAUCAGUUUCACCUAGUAAGUAGUGAUCCCGCUGUCCAAAGCGGAAGUAAAAGUUGUUUAAGGGGAGGUUAUGCCAAAAUAGAAACUUGUCUUGAACGACUAACCCCUGGACUACUGACAUUCCGGACAGCUGACCACUAACAUUUUCUCUCACAUUUUCCACUAGUUGUGUUUUUGCCAACUUUUGUUUAUAGGAUGUUCAAGAAGGUGAAGAACACAGGGAAGGCUCUCAAGAACAUAGGUACAAGGAGUUCAUCACGACAUUCCUCACACCCGUCAUAGAUGAGCGUCCACCCAACACCUACACAAGCUCCGUCAUCUUCAUCUGAUCAGCAAGUCAAGGUCCUUCUCAAGAUAGGAGACCUUGGACUAAAGACCCACAGGGAGAAGGAAGUCUACCAGCAACUAAAGAACAAAGAUUUCAUUCACACACCUACUCUUGAUCCAAUCUUGCUACAAGAAACAGGUAUGGAUACUGAAUUCGACUUAAUUUUCUAGAUGUUAGGUUGGACAAAUUUUUGGAACAUAACUGAGCUGGGUUCUUGUCUUCUCACCCUUGAAUUUCUUUGCACUUUACAAUAUUAUGAGGGGGGAAUUGUUUUCCGGAUGGUCAAACAAGAGAUUAUGUUGUCUUGGAGAGAACUGAGCGACCAGCUUGGUUUCUAUUCAAGAUGCAUCCUAAACAUUGACUCUGACCUACCCAAUUUUGAGAGACAUCAGUUCUGGAGAGAGAUAUCUAGAGACAAUUUUUAUAGUCUAGCCCGAACCAGUGACAUGGAACACCCCACUCUUAGGAUGUUCCACAAAUGGCUUGGGUACAAUCUUUUCUAUCGUGAUGAUAUUAGGAAAGUAAGAGUAGGAGAUUUACAACUUCUAUAUGCUGCUAUUAAUAAAGUACCCACUUCACCUGUUACACUUUUGGUUUCUCAUUGGCUUAGUAUACCUAGUCUUCAGGGACCAGUAGGAUGUACUUCACUUAUCACUCGUCUAGCCUCUAAUAUUCAUUUUCUAGAAAACUCGUCAUUGGACUUCAUAGAUGAGUUAAGAAUUUAUCAUGGCUAUGACACAUUUAGACAAGCUCAGAUGUUAAAGAAAAAGGGGAAUAUAAUGUAUAUGCUAUAUGAUAAUAAAGGCAAGAUUCAGUUACCUAACCAGAACCUUGGCCUCUACGUUGUUCAAAAUUUUUUGAUUGAGAUUGCAGCAACACCAGUGAACUAGAGAGCUCCACAACGAGUGGCAUCUGAAAGGAUGACCACCCAUCAAGAACGCACCUGGUAUGGAGCUGAUCUUGGACCAGAAGAAGCAGCGCACCUGCAUUAUCACGACUACAACCCCCGAGUCCUUCGAGACCCAUGGGUUUGACAUGCGCAACCACAAGAGCCAACACAGGAGACAAGGCUGGAGAGCCAAGAUCACCAGUGGACAAACCCACCUUUUCAUAUGGGCAGGUACUCCACUGAUCCAUAUGGAGCUUCAGGAUCCAGACCUCCGCCCCAAUUUGAUGCAGGACGAUACUCCGACGCCUCCUACGCUUUCACGAAUGACUACUACCAAGAGGCCGGUGCUUUCUUCACCCGUACCGACAACACUCUUCUCGACAUCCAAAAUACGCAAGCAGAACAUGGACGACUCUUGGAACAGCAGCAGAAAUGGAACCAGGAUCAUGCCACUGCAGUACAAGAGCUGAGACAAGAUACCACAACAAUGAAAGAUAACAUCACAACCAUGAUGCGGUUCUGGAAUAUCGGGUAAGACCGACAUCAACAUCCAGCUUGGGGGAGUUCCUCCCCAAUUUAUCAAGUAAGUUUUUAUUAGCCCUUCUUAUUUAUUCUUUCCUAUUUUAAGUGUUUUAUUUAUCUUAUAGAGAAAAACUUAGAAAACCCAAUAAAUAUUUUCUUGCUUUAAUUUACUGCAUUAUAUAAACAUGAAAACAAAAUAAAAAGACUGUGUAGAUGAGUGUGAUUUAUUCUCCCUACUAAGUAUUAAUCUCUAGAAAAAAUAAAAAGACCAAAAAAUACAUGAUGGAAAUGAUGAACAGUUGCUCUGUUUGCUUACUUUCAAGUACCUAGCUUUUAUAUUAGAGUUCUUCCAGGAAUUACUAAAACUGAAAUUACAAUCUAUGGGAAAUAUAAAACUAAAGUCUAGGUAAGAGAAAGGCAUGAUAUAAAGUUUGAGCUGCUGUUUAUCUUGUUCCUACUACACUAAGUUCUGGAGAUUUAUUUUGAAAACUUACAAAUCACAUGAUGAGUUCCUAGCAUUACAAACUACCUACCACAGCCAUACUUGCUAUAACAUCUAUUACUUAUAUUCACAUGAAGUUUGAUCGAGCUGUGUAGACCCUUAGGAGCUUUUCAUGUGGUUAAAUUAAGAUAUUCACUUACACACAUCUACUACACCAUCCACCACCAUUCAUUAAAAUUGCUAAAAAUAUUAUCACUCACUGUCCCAAAUAUUGUUAUUCUCUCUCUCUAAAAAGAUUCAAUGCAGAAGAGGCAUGGGUUAUGCAAAAAUAUGCGAGGAAAUAAAAAGGGGCAAGUGCCCGGAAUAUCGAAAAGAAAGAAAAAGAGUGAGAUGAGAGGUAAAAAUGGACAAGUGUCCGGAGUAGAAUUAGGGGUACAAAGAUGCCCACUUGAGCGGGAAAAAUGGACAAGUGUCCGAUAGUAGAAUUAGGGGUAUCUACUACCCACCUGAAAAAAAAGAGAUAGCCCAUGUUCUCCCAAAGCAAAGAUCAAAGAAGAGGAGAGAUAGCAAUAUGAGGAGCAAUGAGAAGUAAGUUUUAUUAUCACUUAUACAUUUUUUACCAUCACUAUCAUUUACUCCACCACACAUGCACAUCUUGAUUUAAUUAUACGCUGAGUUCCUUUGGAUCCAUGGCUUGAUUAGACAACAUAUGUAUCAGCUGUUUUUCACUCCUAUGAGCUCCACUUAAAUAUUUCAUUAGCUAUAGGUAAGUGACAGUUUGGUAAGGAUCCACAAAUACCACAUAUAGAGAGACUUGAGAGAAUCAUUGCUGGGAACUCUGAGUUUUAUUUUGAAAACUUAUGAAAAACUCUGGAACAAAGGUGAAGUAUAGACAGGAGGAAUAGUGCUUGACUUAAUUAUUUUGUCUUUCGAUUACUUAAGACUCAAGUGCAGGUACUAAGCUCCAUAACACUUCACUCUAAUCUGGAAGAAUUUUUACAUAAAAGCAUGUGUGCCUGUCAGGAAAGAAAACAUCGAAGCAACUCCUGAUCCAUCUGAGUUUAGCUGUUUGCUCAAGGACGAGUAAAGGGUAAGCUUGGGGGAGUUUGUUGACGGUCCUUAAGUACUAAAAUUAACCAUCAAAUAAACAUGGAAAAUGAUCAAUAUGCACCAAACAUCUAGAAUUAGGGUUUUAUCUGACAGAAUUCCACGAGCUUUGGUGUUUAUCUAUUUCUACAGGGGGUUAUCAGAAAAUAUGGAGAGAAGGCCCACAUGUCAUGUUUACAACGAGAUAAUUACGUGCCACGCAAUUUUCCUCAAUCUAGAAGAGUCCAGAUGCCACGGGAACGAACGGGAGACCAGACGGGCUCGGGGGCAGGGCGCCCGCCCUCCCCCCUUGGGCGCCCACCCUGGUCUCAGGUCCAAUCCGAACCAAACUCUUGGAUCAUGUUCCACCGACCUAAGGGAUCAAGGAAAACCAUGCGAUCAAUGUCGGUUUGAUCCAAUGGCCAAAAUUCACUUGAAAGGACUAUAUAACCAAGGCCUCUCCACCCCUGGAGGAGAGAAGAGAAGAGGAGAAAUCAUUAUCAGAGGUAGCCAUCAAAGUUAGGGUUUAGAGCUUCUCUCCCACAGAGAAUUAGAAUUAGCUACUCCCUAAUCCUUCAAGUUUAGAGGAUUGAUUAGAUAGCAAUUAGAGAAGUAGAGCACUACGCUGUGGAUUCGGAUCUUCGGUAAUAAAGAUUGGUAUUAUUCAUAUCUUUCUCUAAUACUUUGUUCUAAUUACAUUAUGUCUCUAUUUAUUAUGGUCUUAGUUUGCUCUAGUUCUAUAUUUGAUAUAGUUAUGAUUGAUAAUGAGUUUAUGUAUAAGUUUGCAAAGCGCUUAGCUCUUGACUCGAGGGAGGUAAGUGGUAGAUCACAUGUGGGCGUGGUGCUUAGAUGUUAUUUACCUACAAAUGUAUCCUAUUGGCCGGGUUGUGUGGUAGUUCGUGAUAGUGAUAGCUUCGUUGAUUCUUAUGUAGUCCACCCUCCGUCGAUAGGACAGGCAGAAUUUGUAUUGCGGAGUAAGUCUUACGAUGUUCUGAUUUACUUUAGCAAUGUUCCUUAUACAUGAAUGAAGAGUCUUUUAUGCUAUACAUGAUCUUGUAGAUAACUAGAGUAGACUAUGACUUAGUAGAUAGUAGAUAACUUAGAAUCCAUUCUCUAGCUAAUCCGACGUCACCUACAUAUAUGAGGAGUAGUCUAUUUUCUAAUCGCUGUGUUAUUUACCCAUGAACUUAUAAUUCAUUAUCAUUAUCUUUAUGGUUUACCCCCUGCCAAAGUAAGUGACUGUGUGACGAGUUUCUCAUUAGUAAUCAUGUUCUUGCAAGUUUAUCUCUAGUCUAUGCCUUGAUAGAUUUAGUCCUUAUCUUAAUUUCACCCCUUGUUCUCUUAAGCAAAAUUAUAAAUAACGAUACCUGGAAUACUUAUCCUGGUGAAAUGCUACAAUGAGGUGUUUUAUCUGUGCACUUGCGGAUAGAAUAGAUUAUUUUCUAGAGAGCCUUUACAUUUAUAAAUACCUUUGUACACUCUGGCACCAUGCUGGGGAUGACAACCUAGUAUCUAAGUGGUGUUAGCUAGUGUCAACAGUCUGCUUACAAGAUCUCCAAGCGAUAGCACCACCACCCAAAGUGAAUAUGUAUCCACUAGUGGCCUUAAGCUCAUGAGGUUUUGAAAUCUAGUUUGAAUUACUAUAUCAGGGUGGGUUGGGCUAGCUAGGUACAUCAAUGAGCCAAUAGUUUGGGAAUAUCUUAGAUGAUCCUUUCCUAAUCUUUUAUUCUUUUGAAGUAUUAGGCUAGGAUCAUAGGGUGUUGGAGAAGGUUUGCAAUCCAUAUAAUCAAAGCAGUUCGAAACCUUUUCCACAUAAUGAGACUAUAAAAGAGUAAUCCCAUUCUCACUCUUAUUAAGUUUAAUAUUGAGGAUCACAUCGGCUUCUCCUAAAUCUUUCAUGUCACAAUUUUGGGAUAAAAAUGAUUUAACAUCAUUGAUCUCAUCGAUGCUUGUCCCCAAAAUUAGUAUGUCAUCAACAUACAAACACAAGAUUACUCCUUUGUUGUCACAGAACCCAUCAAAUUAUAAGAGUUCAAGUGUAGGAACGAUCGCUAGAGCAAUUAAGUUUCCAAACUUGAGCCCAUAUAAUCUCGGUAGUCAAUUGAAUUCUCGAAGGAUUUCAAACCAACUGAGCAACAUACCAAGAUCGUAAUAAGUUCAGCACAAUACAUCGAUUGUUACAACAUUACAUACAAGGUCGAUGAAGUGACAUACAUCAAAGUUUACUUAAGUUAUUACAAACUAAGUUCAAAGUAGCGUAAGCAACAUAGUUUUGAAACCAACAUCACAAGUUCAUUGUUACUAUCAGAGUCUCAUCACAUCCACCAAAAGAUAGUUAGGUACGAUGAUUAGAGAACUGUGCCCAACGGUUAGUCCUCAUCCUGAGCGGGGUAAAGACAGGUCUUGUAGAAACCAUCAUAGAAUAUAUCAUCUACAACAAGUGGGAAUAAACCCUGAGUACGAGGUUGUACUCAGCUAGACUUACCUGACGAACCAAAACAAGGACACCAAGGAUCAUGCAAGGCUACUAAAAGAGUGGAGCUGGCUUGACUCAUUUUGCAUAAAAAGCUUAAGUUAGAGAACUAAACCUUUCUUAUUAGCCUCAAGUUAAUUAUCAUUAACCUGCCACUAUAUUAGCACGUGUACUAUAGCACUCACUUGAUUAAUCAUCAAACAAAUAAGCAUCAAACAAAUAAGCUUUUACAUGAGAACAGUUGUCGCAACGAGCGACAAAAGCAGAAAUUUCCUUCUUCAUUUUCAUCCACCAAAAUAGAGGUUUAAGGUCCUGAUACAUCUUACUACUACCAGGAUGAAUAGAUAGCUUGGAUUUAUGAGCUUGAGACAGAAUCUGAUUCCGAAGCUCUCAAUUCUUAGGUACCACAAGCCUAUCUUUAAACCACAAAAUUCCAUUCUCAUCAACCUAGAAAUGCUUGGUUUCUUCCUCUUUCAUCUUUUUUUUAUGUGGUGGAUACCCACAUCAGUCUGCUGCAACUCAAUCACCCGAUUACAAAGAGAACUCUCUAGGGCAAUGUGGUGAAGCACCACUGGAUACAUAAGGUGUGACAAGGAAGGAUCCUCAAUCCUUACUGAAUUGCAAUGCGACUUCCAACUCAAGGCAUGGUAGUGCACUUGAAGAUUAUAAUCUUUAAUCAACUCAAGCCAUCUUCGCUGUCACAUGUUCAACUCUGGUUGAGUAAAGAUGUACUUGAGGCUUUUAUGAUCGGUGUAGAUGUUACACAAAUUACCUAAUAGAUAGUGCCUCCACAUCUUCAAAGCAUAAACUACUGCUGCCAAUUCUAAAACAUGAGUGGAUAAUUGACCUCAUGCUUUUGAAGUUGGUGAGACGCAUAAGCGAUGAAUCUUCCUUCUUACAUAAGCACACAGCCCAGAUCGAUACCGGAUGCAUAACAAAAGACAUCAAACGACUUCUCGAUAUCGGGUUGAGCUAAGACUGGGGCUAAUGUCAGUAAGGUUCUCAACUUAUGGAAUGUCUCAUAACACUCUGGCAUCCACAGGAACUUUUCAUCUUUCUGAAGCAAACAAGUCAUAGGCUUGGAUAUUUUGGAAAACUUUAGAAUGAAACGACGAUAAUACCCAGCUAAGCCUAGAAAACUCCGCAUCACGUGCACUAAGGUUGGAACCUUCCAAUCCAACACUUCUUACACCUUGGUCGGACCAACCGAGAUUCCUUCUUCAAACAAGACAUGGCCCAAGAAAGGUACUUUCUUUAGCCAGAACUCACACUUGCUAAACUUAGCAUAAAGCUGAUGCUCACGCAACCGAGUCAACACCACAUGCAAAUGCUCUGCAUGUCUUCUUCAUUCCGAGAAUAUACCAAGAUAUCAUCAAUGAAGACCAACACGAAUUUGUCUAAUUUGGGCAUGAAGACCGAAUUCAUGAGAUACAUGAAAUGCACCGGUGCAUUGGUCAGACCGAAGGACAUAAUGAGGUACUCAUACAACCCAUACCUUGUUGAGAAAGCCGUCUUGGGUAUAUCUUCAGGACGGAUCUUGAUCUCAUGGUACCCGGAUCGCAAAUCAAUCUUAGAGAAUACCUUGGCUUUAGACAACGGAUCAAACAAGAUAUCAAUGCAAGGAAGAGGGUACUUGUUCUUGAUAGUCAUCAUGUUGAGUGGAUGAUAAUCCAAUGCGCAAGGAUUGAUCCUUCUUCUUCACAAAGAUAGCCGGACAACCCCAAGAAGAAAAACUAUGAUAAAUAAGACCCUUCUAGAGAUAGGAGCAGUGCCUGGAAGCAAUUUGAUUUUAAACUCCAUGUCUCGGUCUAGAGGAAGUUGUUGACAGUAGAUAAGUAUCAAUUUUAUAUCAACAAGAGAAUGGAAUAAGGGCAUGAAAUAAUCACCAACUGUAGAAUAGGGUUUCAUCUGACAGAUUUCCAUAGGUUUUGGUGAAUGUCUGUUUCUAUAGGGGGGUUAUCAGGAAUUGACCCUUAGAGGCCCACAUGUCAUGAUUACAUAGAGAGAAACAAGAUAUCUACGCCACAUAUACAAAAGAAGGAUCUAGAAGAGUCGGGAAUCUACCAGAACAAAGCAGAACACGAGCGGAGUCUGGGGAGGGCGCCUAGAGGGGGCGGCUACCCUGCCCUCCUGACUAAUCAGGAGCAGUCUUAUGGAUCGAGCUAUAAUCACCUUUGAGGAGCAUGGAUCUUCAUCCAUUAAGUCAGUUUGAUCCAAGGGUCACGGUUAAUCCCACCGGCCUAUAUAAGGUGGGGUAGACCCUAGGGUUAGAGGCAUUGAUUAGAAGAGAUAACCAUUCCCCUAGGGUUAGAGGCAUUGAUUAGAAGAGAUAACCAUUCUCAUUGAUAGAAUUCAUUCUCUACCUUCUUCUCUCUAGAGCUCCAAGUUUAGAAGCAUAGCUAUAUAGAAUAGAUCUAGUUAGAGGCAAGCAUCGCUUGGUUUCUAGAUCUGUCGAAAAGAUACUCAGUAAUUCUUGUAAUCUUUAUCCUACAUUAUUCUAGUCCAUCAUUAUAUAUAUUAUUUCAUCAUAUUAUGAAUAUGACUUUGCUCUAUUCUAUUAUAUUGGAUAUGACUUUGCUCUACUUGCUUAUAUUCUUAAUUAUAUUGUUCUUAGUCUAUUAUGAUUAUAUGCUUGGCAUAGUUGGUUUAGAUUUAUAUUCAAAUAUAUGUUUGUAUAGCGCUCAGUUUUGAUAUCACGGGGGUGGUCAACAUUAUGUAGGUGUGGUGCCUAUAUCGUGUUUGCCUGCAUUUGCAUGCUAUAUUUCGGGUCGUGUGGUAGAUCGUGGGGAUGUUAUACCCGUUGAGUCCUCUAUAGUCCACCGUCCGAAUGUAGUUUCUGUAGACACUAAUUACGAGGAGACGAUUGCUUUAUUCCUGAUUUUCCUUGGUAAUGUCCAUAUGUGUAGAUAUAAUCUGCUCUUGCUAUGAUUGCCACGUAUAAUUGCACUAAUCAUAAUAUGCUAGACUAUAUAGUUGGAAUAACAUAGGAAACAUCUUAGUAGAUCAUUCUAAUUCAUGCUAGUUCUAUAGACUGAAGUACUCUAGAUAUACAUUUAUCAUUCUAUGUUUGAUUACUAUUCAUUAUAUAUAUUUAUCUUGACUAUGUGACUUACCCCUGCAUUAAGUUAGAUAGAUAAGAUGUGGUUACCCUCAUGAGAUUACAUGCUAGUGAUAUCUAUUCCCUUGGUUAUCAUUCCUCUGGGUAAAAUUAUAAAUACGAUACCUGGAACUUUCCUGGGUGAAAUGCUACAAUGGUAUACAUCUGUGCGCUUGCGGAUACCUGAUUCUAUAUUUAUCAUUCUAAGAGAGCAUUGCAUAUUUACUACCACUAGCGUAUUUCUUGGGGUCAUGCUGGGGAUGACAACCUAGCCACUGAGGAUAGGGUCUUUACUCUACUCUUAGUAAGUGACGCUAAGAAAUGCCAAUAGAAGCCUGGGCAAGUCAUCAGGAAAGAUAUCCGGAAACUCACACACCACCGAAAUGUCCUUGAUGGCAAUAGAUGUAACUGCAUUCAUCGUGUUGUGGAUGUUAAUAUCGUGAGGAAGUUGCACUAAGAAUGCCUCCUUAGUGCUAGGAUCCCUCGACAUUACCACUCAUCCAUUUCAUUCCCAGAAUCACAUCUAUGCCCACACUAGGCAAAACAACCAAAUCAGCAAGAAACUAACGGUCUCCUAUUUCUAGAGUUGCCCCCAAACCACUUGAUUUGUAGAAAUAUUGUUCCAGGAGGCACUAAUGCAAUAACUGCCUUUAUCAAGGGUGACUGCCUUGAGAUUAUGCUUAGAUACAAAGUCUGAACUCACAAAUGAAUGCGAUGCUCUAGAAUAAAAAGCACAAGUGCAACACAUCAGUUAACUAGAAACAUACCAGCCGUCACCACUUCACCAGCAAGGAUCUCUUCGGCGGGUAUGGGCAGUUGCUUUGCUAAAGACCCGUCUGAUUGCAAUUCUAGCACGGUCGGUUGGCAGGUGGAGCCUUGGCAUUGCUGGGCCUAGUGUCUCCCCUUGGAAGAGCAAUGGAAUACCCCUUACGGAACCUAGUUUUCAUCGGAUUCUUCAUCACCGGAGGUUGGUACCGCAUAUUUGGGGUUGGCGCAUGAUACUAGGGCUUCGCUACCACUAGAGCCUUGGACUCGGAUGCCUCAUCCUCAAAAGCACACUCACGAGUUUUGGUCGCAGUGUACACAAUAUUGUAAUUCUUUUGAGUAAGAGCAUCAUAGACAAACUCAUUGAAUGUGGCACAUUUGGUAUGACCCAUAGUCUUCAACAACUUGGGACCAAGACCUCUCUUGAAACUAGUAAUUUUCUUUACCUUAGUGCUCACGAACUCAGGUACCUGGACAAAUGAUUGAAAGCAUGCAAGUACUCCUUCAAGGUUUUGUUAUCCUGGGUUAGUUGCAUAAACUCAGUAUGCUUCACCAUGAGCCCCAAGGGUAUAAAGUGCCCCUUGAAUGCCUCAUGGAAUAGAUUCUAGUCAACCACUGUAUUCUCUGGGAGGGCAUUCCUAUAAUGAUUCCACCAGAUACCAGCGGGACCUUGCAGUUGAUGAGCUGCAUACUCAGCCUUCAGACUGUCGGUCAACCUGAGCAAGCGGAACUUCUGCUCCCCCAUGUUCAGCCAUUCCUCAGCCUGAAUGGGUUCCUCAGCCUCCUUGAAAGGUGGGGGCUUGGUCCAUGAAGUCCUUGAAGCUGCUGUAUUGGUUUGGUGUCGGUCCAUGUUGUACAUCUCGGCCCCCUUGAUUUGCCAUCUAAUGAAUAGAGUCAGUUAACAAUAUUUGUGAAAGGAUUAAGAUGCCCAAGAGGGGGGGCGUGAAUUGGGCUUCUCUAAAAAUUUAAGCAACCUAUAAGCUCCAAUUCACCCGCUUGUGCCUAGGUGUGUUCUAGGGAGGUACCAGAUAAAAGUUUUGCAACCUAGUUCCAAUCCUAUUCUAGCAUGGCAAUUAUAGAAAUGUAAAUGCACAAAGUAAAUGCUAAAAUGUAAAGGAUGAGAGCUAGAAGAAUGCAGCAAUGUUUUGCCGAGGUAUCAGAGAGUCGCCACUCUCCACUAUUCCUCAUUGGAGCACCUGUGCAAGGGCGUUGCUCCCCCUUGGUCCGCUCAAGGACCAAGUUCUCUCUAUGGGCUGAUUCUUCGACACUCCGUCGUGGUGAAUCACCCAAAACCACUCAGAAGCUUGACACGAGCCACCCACAAGAACUUUGGGCAGUCUUCGUGCCUCCAAUCACCACCGAACCAUCUAGGUGAUGGCGAUCACCAAGAGUAACAAGCAAAGAACUCUCACUUAACCCAAACAAGGCUCUAGAGAGUGAUGGAUGCACACUUGAACUCUUGGAUCUCAACUAGAGAAGGAUUCACUCAAGAAAUCGCUCAAUUCUCAAUCCUCUCUAGGCUCUUGCUUCUCUUUUGCACCACAAGAUGUUACUCAGCUGAUCAAAUGGGCAAGAGACCUCCCAUGGACGAGGUGAAGGAGUAUAAAUACCCCCCAUCAAGUCCAAGGGUCGGCCACCCAAAUUCCUCCAAAAAUGGGAGCACCGGACGCGCUCCGCAGAGCGUCCGGUGCUCCAUCAAUAGCUAAUUGUACUUGCUCUGCAACACACUAGGUGCACCCACAGUGGAUUUGGUGACUCACUUGGAUCGCGUCCGGUGCUAGGGCAAACUUCAACCCUCUCUGGGUACGGGACCGGACGCACCCUAGUGGGUCUGCUGCGUGCGUCCGGUGCUCGGUCAAACUGUAGACCUCCCUGGGUAAGGGACCAGACGCACCCCAGCGAGUCCGGUGUGUGCGCUCCGUGCCUAAUCCUAGGCACCCAGGCACGCCGACCCAAGUCAGCACCACCGGACGUGCUCAUAGAGCGUUCGGUGCCUGUUUCGGCAUAAAAACUUCGUCGAAACGCAAUAUUUCCAAAAUGAAAUUUGUUCCUCUCGAUCUAAGGACUUUCUCGGAGCUACCUAGUGCUAGGUUUAACAAGUAUGCACCACACCUAAACCUAAAGCCUUGCCUAGGUCAAGCUACCCACUCAAUGCCCCCUUAAUAGUAUGGUCAAAGGAAAAACAAAGUCCUAAACUACUCUAGGUGCCCUUCUUCACCAUAUGGCACCAAGACCUAGUCUAGUUUCGAUGAUGUCCAACCAUCCUUUGAAAACCAAAACAAUUUCCACAAUUAAGUCGGCAUGAAUUAUCUAGUCCAUCAAUCACCAUUACCAUGACCUAACAUAAAUGACUUUGCCUCUACAAAACACAUGUUAGUCAUAGUAAUCAAUAUAGUCAUUAAUCACCAAAACUCAUUAGGGGCCUAGAUGCUUUCAGUCUCCCCCUCUUUGGUGAUUGAUGAUAAUAACCUCAAGUAUGUUUGAAGUGAGGUUUUUAAUUAACUUGGUUUCUAUAAGCAUGUGACAAUAAGAACAAAAAAGAUUAGACAUGCUUAUAUCAACCAAGCGUGAUAUCCUGUGUCCCAAAAUGUAAGAUGUGUGCAACAAGAUACAACAACAUAAGGCUCAUAAGAUAUUGGAGUAAGAACAUAGAAGCAAAACAAUAUGAGCCAAACACAUGACAUAAAGGAUAUUAUCAUAAAGCAUAAGUCAGGUCUCACAACUAUAACAAAAAGUAUCUCACAAAUGCAUUGUUGGGUAUUUUAAACACAAACAGAAAAAUCUACAAGUGCACGGAUACCGAUGUAGCAUUCACCCGGGAGUAUUCCAGAGUAUCGAUUUUCCACAGGGAACGUGAGUGUAAUAAUUAAGAUUCAAGAUCGCACAAGGAUAACUAUAUAAUUAUUUUUGGUGGGAAGAGAGGAACUUUCCUGAGAGUUCUCUAGUUGAUCUAAUAAUCAAGAAGUACUUCAAAGAUUAUUUAUUUCGGGACAUCAGAACACUAACCACAGAAAGGGGUGAGAAGGGGGCUAGGAAGCUCUGACUACGGUCCUACAAACACCGAUCCGAACGAGGUGGGAUACGUCGACCGUUAGGGCUGUCACUACCCUAGGGCUACCACAACAAUCCGCUGGAUUGGGUGCAAUUCUAGGUAAUUGCAAGACUAAACACCACGUCUAAUCUAUUAAUUACUACUCUAAUGUUGCAAAGAUUAGAGCACUUGAUGCAAGCGGGAAUCCAAUAAAUAACUUGAAUGUAAAUAAAAGUAAUUAAAGAACUCAGGAAUUAUGAAUUGAAGAACCUAGAGAACGAUGAAGAACGAACCAGUUGCUGCAAAAGUAUAAUGUUGAGGAAGAUCCGACAGAUCCGGCUCCUCCUCCUCCGCUCUCCUCUUCUCUCUCCUUAUUUUCUAGAUUACAACUAGAACUAACAAGAACUAGAACUAGAGGAACUAGAACUAGAACUAGAUGAACUAGAGGGAUCCUCCCUACUUAGAUGAAGAAUUGAAACCCUAGCUUUGAUUCUAUAGAAGAGGUAUGAUCUCCAGGGGCCAGGGGGCCUUGCUUAUAUAGUCUUUUCAGAUGAAUCUGGGUCGUCGGAUCAAACCGACAUUAAUCGCAUGGUUUUCCUUGAUCCUUUAGGUCGAUGGAGCAUGAUCCACGAAACGUGUCCUGAUUGGACUCUCGAAGUGGGCGGACGCCAAGGAGAGUUGGGUGGGCGCCCUGCCUCCAAGCCCGAUUGCCUUCCCGUUCGCUCCCGUGGCUUCUGGAGUCUUCUAGAUGGUAGAAAAUUGCGCGUCACGUUAAUAUCUCUAUGUAAUCCUGACAUGUGGACCUUUCUUCCAUAUUUCCUGAUAACCCCCAGCAGAAAUAGACAAACACCAAAACUCGUGGAAUUCUGUCAGAUAAAACCCUAAGUCUAGGUGUUGGUUGCAUUUGGAUCCUUUUCUAUGAUUAGUUGACAGUUAAAUGUGAGCAUUAAGGACCGUCAACAAGCUCCCCCAUGCUUAACCUUUGCUCGUCCCUGAGCAAAGCUAAAAUCAGCAAGAAAACAGGGGUUACUUUUAUGCCUCUUACUACAGGGUUUUUAUGUUAUCACUAUGGUCUUAAGUGAUUGAAAAACAGAACGAUGAAGUCAAGCACUAUGUCUCAAGUUCUUUUGUCUUACCUUUGUUCUGGAGUUGUUUGUAAGUUUCCAAAAUAAAACUGAGGAAUUUGGCUUCUUCUCGAAAGAUAUAUAAGUAGAGCUUUAAAAGUUUUAGCAUACUUACUUUGCAUUUUGCUAUGUCAAUGCUCGGAGCAAGGGAGAGGAAUGUCAUACUCCUAGAUCAAGACCUUUGAUCUUUUUGAAAAGAUUGUCAUCUCUUAUUGGCAUAUUGCUUAUUUAGAGGGACCAUGGGCUAUCAUUUUUUUUCUUUCUUUUUUCAGUCUCUCUUUUCUUUUUUUUCCAAGUGGGUACCAAGUACCCCUAAUUCUACUAUCGGACACGUGUCCAUUGUUUCUCACUCAGAUGGGUAUCUUUGUACCCCUAUUUCUACUUCGGACACUUGUCCAUUUUUACCUCUCGUCUCACUCUUUUUUUUGAAUCAAAUUUUUGCACAGUCCCAUGCCUCUAACGCAAUAAUACUUCGGAAGAGUGAAUCUUUUAUAUUUUAAACAAAAAGAUCUUGAUCUUUAGAGCAUGAUAAUUCUCUCAACCAAAACUACAAGAAUUAACAAUGGCUUGAACAAAGCAAGUGCCCACAAUUUUAAUAUUUAUAUCUUAUAAGACUCUAAGUAUUAUGUGAAACAGGAUCUCAUUAUUUUUUUCUUUGAAUUUUUAGAUUUUCAAAAGAUAAAAUCUCCAGAACUCUAGCAAAACUUGGAACAAGUUAAAUAGUAGCUCAGACCUUCUCAUAUCAUGUUUGUCAAUUACCUAGACUUGGAUCAAACUUUCUUUUUAUUUUAUUUAAAACUUAGGAUUACACAAAACUAUUGUAUAUCUCAAAAGAAAAACUUUGUUUGGUUUCAUGGUUAUGCAUUUUUUUAUUUCCGAAUACUAGUAAAUACAACCAAGAAAGAAAAGUAAUACUUAUCUAGAUACACGUGGGGGUGCCUAGCCCAAGCUGGAUGUUGACAUAGUCGUUCACUCUUGUGGCCUGCAUGUUCGGUCUCACUCUUCUUAAGCUUCAAAAUCCUACACAACCCAAAUAGACAACAAAACUCGUGGAGCAUGUUAAGGGUUAGGUAAUUGUCUAGAGCUUAUGAGAGCUUAAUAUGAGAAUUCUAUGAACUCAAUCACAAUAAGUUCCUCUACCAGGUUGUUUUGUGGCUCGAGAUAGAUUUUCAAGGGUUGUCCAUUUACCUUAAAAGUGUUACCUAUGUCGUUUUGGAUGGUAAUGGCUCCAUGAGUUGAAGUGUCCAUAACCUUGUAUGGUCCAUCCCACUUACUUCGUAGCUUAGCAUGCCCAAAGAGCUUAACUCUUGAAUUGAAUAGUAGAACCUUAUCUCCAGGCUUAAACUCCUUGUGCUUGAUUCUCUUAUCAUGCCAUCGUUUUGUUCUCUCUUUAUAGAUCCUUGAAUUGUGGUAGGCUUUCUCUCUCCAUUCUUCUAGCUCAGAUAGCUGCAUCAGACGAUUCUUGCUAGUGAGGUGGAGAUCCAUGUUCCAUUUCUUGAGUGCCCAAUGAGCUUUAAACUCUACUUCCACAGGAAAAUGACAAGUUUUUCCAUAUAGAAGUUGAUAAGGUGACAUGCCUAUGGGUGUUUUGAAUGCAGUUCUGUAUGCCCAAAGUGCAUCAGGAUGUUUGUCCAUCCACCCCUUACCCAUCUCAUCUAUGGUCUUUUGUAAAAUAUUUUUGAUUUGUUUGUUAGAUGUUUCGGCUUGACCGCUAGUCUGAGGAUGGUAUGGUGUUGCGACGUUGUGUCGAACUCCAUGAUCGGCUAGGUACUUCCGAAAGAUUUUGUUGAUGAAGUCGGAACCUCCAUCGCUUAUUACUAUCCGGGGUAUACCAAAGCGAGGAAAGAUUACUUCAUGGAACAUUCUCUUGGCAUGCUUUGAAUCAGCUGAUCGACAAGGUAGGGCUUCUACCCAUUUGGACACGUAGUCCACAGCUACUAAGAUAUACUCGCAAUUCCCGGAAAUAGGGAAUGGCCCCUUGAAAACAAUGCCCCAUACAUCGAAAAGUUCUACUUGAAGAUUAUUUGUGAGAGGCAUUUCAUUUCGUGAGUUGAUAUUCCCAUGUUUUUUCAUCGGUGGCAUCUCCUGACAAAGUCCUUUGUAUCUUCAUACACCGUUGGCCAGAAAAAGCCACUUUGCCAAAUUUUAGCAUGUGUCCG